GGUACGGAUGUAUCCCGAAAGCGGUCCACUACCUUGCACGGAGGUGAAAACCUCAUGAAUGACUAGUUUCUCGCUCCCACUUAAAGGGUAAAAUCAUUCAACUCAUGUAAUGUGUAGUGCAAACAAUACUUAAAUACAUUAAGCAAGAAGAUAAUGAAUGCAAAAAGAUAUCAUGAAAAUUUUUUUAAAAUAAAUACUUUCUCGACCAUAAAACAAAAAUUAAUCAACUUUAUGGCUCGACUAUCUUAUUUUUUAAAAAAAUGUCCCCAGUGGAGUCGCCAAGCUGUCGAAAUCAUUUUUUAUUUUGGAAAAAAAAACAAAAAUUAGUUGUCGACUUUAAAAAAACAAAAAUUGGGAGUCGCCACCAAUCUUUUAUUAAGGUGUGAUUGGAUCACCUAGACAAUAGCUUUGGUUUACGAGUUUUAAAAAAAUGGAUUCAGGAGUCGGUUACGUAAGAGGAAGGAUUAGCACCCUCGUAACGCCCAAAAUUGGUACCUAGUUAAUUAAUUAGUGUCUUAAUAUUGAAAAUUUAAAAAUAUGAUCCUUAAUAAAAACUAAAAAACGUUACUUAUUAAGACUCUUAUCAUUUCAGAGAAAGAAAAUGUCACACCCAAUGCGUUAGCGCACGGCAUUCUAUUUCCUCAAAAAUGAUUUAGUCCAAAAUACUCUUAUAAUAAAAAUUUAAAAGAAUAUCCAUUUAUUUAAGAUUUAAGAAAUCGCGGCCUAAUACGUUAGGGCACAAUUUCUCAAAAUCCUAAACUUGGAAUAUUUCCUUUGUUAUCAUUUUUUUUAAAAUUUUUGUCUCGAGAAAUCAAUACGUCACAUCCAAUACGUUAGGAUACAACAUAUUAAAUUCCCAACAACAAGCUUUUCAUUUUAUUUUUUGAUUAAUGAGCAACUCUCGAUCGUUAGAUUUAACGAAGAAAAUCGGAACCUAAUACGUUAGGGCUCAAUUUCCUUGAAAAUCCUAAAUACGAGUAUUAUCUCAAUUUUAAAAAUUUCUGAAUAAAAUGAUUUUGAUGCUUGAAUGAUAUCGAACAUAGCCUUUUUAACGAAUAGAAUGCGAUAAAUGAUAAUAUACAACAUGGAGCGAUAAUUCGUCAAUAAAACAUACACUAAUGAAUGAUAAAUAAUAAAUGAAUUCGAAAGAAAAUACAUAAACCUAUUUAAGAGAGAAUUUAUAGGUAAUAGAUAAAAUAAUAUGAAAUCAAUAAUAUAUAGAAUAAAAAUAAUUUAUUACAAAUUAUAUAUGUAUAUAUAAAAUAGUAUUGUAUAAAAACAUUUUCAUAUAAAUCUUUAAGACAUGUAGAUAUGUAAAGUGAAUUUCGAAAAUAUAUUACAAAAUAGGGAUAUCAAAGAAUAUAUACAAAUCAUGUUGAAUUUACCUAAAAUAUAAAAAAGUGUGAUAAAUCGAAAUAAUAGCAAUAUAUAUUGAAUUUCAAAAUAAUGAUACAUUAUAUUUUUUUAAAAAUGGUAAUAUAUACAUAUAAUUAAAUAAACUUAUAGCCAUAAUACAUAUAAAACAUAAAAUAAAAUGGAAAAUACUAAGCUUAAUCAUUAAAAUAGUAUUAGAUUUAAAAUUAAAUAUAUUUUAAAAAAUAGUGGUGUAAGAAAUCAAGCACAUUGAAUUAACAAGGAUUUAAAUUGAACUCCAAACAGAAUUCAAGGAAAAAAAUGAAGGGCCCAAUUAAAAGGCGUGAAUAACUCAUAGGGCUCGAAUGGGAAAAUAUCUCCAUCUUUUGAAACGCGUCACUUUAUUAGGGCUAAAUAAAUAAAUAAAAUUCGCAAUGGUAUCACCUUCUCCCUUUUUUAAAAUCGUAAAUAAGUAAUAAAAAAACAAUAAGCCACCUUUAAAAAACUGCCAAUCGUUCUCCCUUUUUUUUAUUGAUUUUUUUCCUCCCCCUCAAUGAAGGGAGAGGCCUCUAUUUAUAGUUGAGCCUCCCCAAAUCCAACGGUACAGAUCAAUUACAUCAACGGCUAAGAUUAAAGGGUAUCUACAAAUUAAAUCUCUAAGAUUAUAAAAUCAUAUCUUCCAAGAUUGCAUAUCAUAUCUAAGAUUGCAUAUCCUUGAAGAUUAUUUUUCCAUAAGCUUGUAGAUGGACCUUCAACCUUUUUAAGUAAUGGGUCAUUCCGAUCGGGCCAAAUGGUAUAAUUUUGUACUAGACUUAAACUUUAUUUUAUUAUUGUGAGCCCAGGCUAAAAUUGGGUAUUACAAUCUUAACAAGCAUUAAACUCUUAUAUAUUAAAAGGCUUGCAUAGGUAAAGAGCGUGGAGAAUUUUAGCACUUAUUUUGUAAUUUAAAACUUGUUUUUCAGAGUGCAUUUUGUAAGUAAUAAAGUGAGUCACUUGAUUUUUAUCCUAAAUUUUUAGGGGAAAACUUAAAGGAGAGUUAUCUAGAUCUUAGGUACCAAAUUGAGGUUGUUAAUCUAGUGGUUGUCAAUGCUUGUAAUCACUUGUUGUAUGAGGUGUUAAAUAGUGGAUUAUCUCUCUAUGUAAGGCCUUAUAGAUAGAGGAAAACUGAACUGUGGAAACACAUCAAGUGUAUAUUGUUUUUCUACUUUGUUCUUCACCAAUACCUAAAGUAGUGGGUAGCACUGCUUCUGACACUACUCAAUUUCUACUUGCAAUUAUUGAUUUUAGACCUAACAAAUUUAAUUAAAUUUUGAUACAUAAUUCUGAAAACUUUUCAUGUUUGGACUCAAAAUUGGUUGGAUUCACUCAUUUUCAUUGUUUGCAUUAUAAAAUAUUUUUAAAAUAUGUUAACAUUAAUAUUUUACUCACAAUUUAAAUUACUUAAAUUCAAAUCAAAUUAAACUAAAUUAAAAUUAAAAAAUAAAAUUAUUUCAAUAAACCAUUCGAGAUAGAAACAAGUAUAGAGGGAAGUGGAUGGUAGAGCCAAAGUAUAUAAUUGGAUCAAGCGCAGGACAAAUUAUGUAUGAAAUUAGAAAGAUGAAGAUGAAGCUCAAUCAAAAUAAGAUAUUGCAUACCAAGUAGGUUUAGCCAUAAAUUGUUUAUGGUCGACAGUCAUUCUUGACCGACACUCUUGUUCUUCUUCAACAAUUUUCCCUUUAAAAAAACAUCUUAUCAUCAAAAUAUUUUUAUUAAGGUCCAAUCACUCUUGUUCUUCAUAUGUAGCAAUAAUAAGUGCAAAAAUCUUUUUGCCAGUCCAUUUCACAAAUGCUCUUUUGUCCAUAUAUAACACUCAAUUUUUGGAAUUAGUAUUCCUUCGGUCACCUCGAUUUUUGGAAUUAUUAUUAUUAUUUCUCUGUAGCCUCUUGAUUGGCAAAUGCUUAUGGGGUUAAGCAAAAAAUCUUGGGGCAAAAUCAAAUUAUAAAGUUGAUAAUCAUAAUUUUAUUAUUCUUAGACAAUCAAAGUAUAAAAUUAACUUAAAUUUGUAAGAUUUUAAAGGUGGCCCCUAAUCAAGACAAGUAAGUGUCACAAAAACAUGAUCGAAAUUAAUGAGGUAAGUAUCCUCUGUAAGUUCAUUAUUCUCAUGUCUCGUAAAAUAAGCCAAUACGUUGGCACUUAGCAUUAGCAGACAAUAUCAAAGGGGGGCUCCAAUGCACUGGGGGCCUUAGGUUCCAACCCUAAUAUAUAUACAUGACUGACUGCUGAAAUCAGUUGUAGAUUUGGCCUAGUUAUGGUAUGAUGACGUGAAGUACUUGGAACCGGUUUGGCAUACACAUUGUGACAAAACAUGCCUAUCCAAGAAUUUCUGUUCCAAACAGGAUUCAAAUAUAUGGACAAAUCCGUAGCUUUCCAAUCUCUUUCCAUGAAAUUUUACAAAAAGGUUUUUUUUAGCCAAUUUUUUUUAUUAAUAGCCUUAAACAACGUCCACAUCUGCAUGGAGAUAUAUGUAGAGGAACCACCCUAUAUAAUCUUUGCACGGUAAUCUUCCUAUAUUUACAACUAUUUCCAAUCGAUAGUAUCGGUGGAGAGAUCAUUAAUCCCUAGGGUUCUUUUUCUUUUCUUUUUUCUUUUUUCUUUUUAAUUUUUCGUCCAUUAUUUGAUCAUCAUCUCCAACUCCAAGAAUAAUAGCAAUAAUAAUGUUGGGUGGCUCUUCAAUGGAGGAAAUACCAGCUGCUGGUAAUAACUCAUCGGAGAUCCAGCUUCCUCCAGGUUUUAGAUUCCACCCUUCUGAUGAAGAGCUCAUAGUUCAUUACUUGAAAAACAAAGUGACUUCCAACCCUCUUCCAGCUUCUAUUAUAGCUGAGAUUGAUUUAUACAAAUAUAAUCCAUGGGAGCUUCCAAGUAUGUAUAUGCAUAUGUAUACUAAUUAGAAAGGGUUCUUGUAAACUGUACUGAUUAGUUCUAUCUGGUUUGUUUAUUUGUGAUCUAUCUAUCUAUCUAUCUAUCUAUCUAUCUAUAUAUAUAUAGUUAAAGCUUCGUUCGGAGAAGAUGAAUGGUUUUUUUUCUCUCCAAGAGACCGGAAGUAUCCGAACGGGGCGAGGCCUAAUAGAGCGGCAGCUUCGGGGUAUUGGAAGGCGACGGGGACGGAUAGACCGAUCCUAACGUCGUGUGGAACCAAGAGUAUUGGAGUGAAGAAAGCUCUGGUAUUCUACAAAGGACGUCCACCUAAAGGGACCAAGACAGAGUGGAUCAUGCACGAGUAUAGGCUGCUUGAAACCAUGAUUUGGACUCCCAAACGAAAAGGGUCUAUGAGGGUAACAACUAAGACCAUGUGGACCGUAUAGCUAAUUUAUGUGAUGAAUUAUGAAUGAUGAUAAUCGAUUUUCUUUUCUUUUUUUUAUGUUAACAGUUAGAUGAUUGGGUGCUUUGUCGAGUGAGGCAAAAAGCCAGCAUACAAAGGAACAGUUGGGAAGAUAGAAAUAUUAGCAGUCAUGAACCAGCUGAUAGCUUCUAUGUCCCCAAUUCCAUUGAGCCAUGGCCUUCCAACACAAACCACAACGUUGAAAUGGGCAAAACCUACCUAUUCAAUGACUGCCCUAUGUUGCCUUUCAUUUUUGCAUCUCAAGACCUUCCUUGCUUCGACACAACCUCCAGCAUUAGCUUCCAAAGCAGUGACAAAUCUUGCACAUCCCUCCAGGAAGCCAAUUCUGGCAACAACAACAUGCAGAUUUCAUUUUCGUCCCUACAAAACCUGUUUAACCCUUUGAAAAGAGAGUCCAUGGAAAAAGGUAAUUUUGUCCCAACCAGCUGUAAGAAGCUCAAGAAUACUGAGAAAGAUUGCAGUGAAAUGAACUUUUAUAGAUCAAACCAUUUGGAAAACAGUGAUUCUAGUCCACAUCAAUGGAAUUUAAUGAUGCAGUAUGAUCAACAACUUAAUCUCCCGGAUUUUACUGAAACUGACUAAAGAAAGCAUGGGAUUAUACAUAUGGGGUAAAAAAAGGUGUACAUAAAAUAAUCAAUGGUUUCUAUAGUUUGUUGAGGUGAAGGUGUGCAGUUAGAUAUACAGUAGUUUCUACUUACGGCCCGGGUGGAGAUGAUACAUUUGUACGUAAAUUACUAGGGUGAUUUCGAGAUCUUCAUUUAUCUUUAUCUAUUAAAAAUUUCAGAUUGUAAUUUGUAUCAAUGUACAUACAUAGUAUUACAAGUACAUAUGUUAAAACAAUAAAUGCCAUACUGGCUACACCAGAGCUCAGACUAAAGCUCAUGUAAUUUCUAUCAUUGUACACACAUAGUAUUACAACUACAUGGUUUUAUUGUAUCAAUGUACUUCUGUUUUUCUUUUUUUUUUUGUUUUUUUUAUUACAAAAUUUAAACAUUGUUACCUAAACUCCAAAAAAAAAAAAUCACCAUUUGGCGCUCCAAUGCAUUUUAUUCCAAAGUUUUCUGGAACUGCAUCUUAUUUUCAGCAUCAUUGUCUGUUUUUAUGCCCAAAAAGAAAACUACAACAUGGAACCACAAAUGUAGGGCUCCUAAAUGAAACCAAAAAUUCCCUUUGUUUCUAGAGAAGUUAUUUUUUCUUAAAAUAUUUUAAAAACUUUUUUUUUCAAAAAAUUAUACUCUCUAUUUUAAUAAAAACACCAACUUUUUUUAAAUAUUUUAAUUAAUUAAAUUUUACAAAAGAAAACAUAUUUAAAAACUUCAUCAAAAGUUUUUAAAUAUUUUAUUCAUAACAAAUUUUUAACCAUCGAUUGGGAGUACCUUCUUAUUUAUUGCUUUAGAUCAGCUUGUAUUUAUCAUUUUUCACUUUGUUUCCUGUUUCUAUUGAAAAAUGUCUUUCCUUUAUUGAAUGAUAAGGUUAUUUCAGGAAAUUUGAAUUAAAUUAUCGUUGACAAAGGGUUAAUGUACAUUUUAGACCUUCAAUUUAGUAAUUUAUACCUAUUUGAUACUUAAUUUUUUUUAACUUAAUUGCUACCUGAAAAUUGUUAGCUAAAAUCAUACUUUUUUUUAGGUACGUGACUAACACCAUUUAUUUUUAUCAAUCUAACCGAUCAUUGCACGCCACGUGUAUUAAAAAUAAGAAAGAAAAAUAAUUUUAAACUUUAUUUUAAUAUUAUUAAUUAAAAUACUUAAUAUCCCCGAACCACCCCCUCCCCCUCUACCUCUCACCUUAUCCUUCUGCCCAAUCCCUCACCUUUCUCAAUUUUUUUUCCAUUUCGUCCGAGUUCAUUGUACAGCCCAAAUUUUUGCCCGGGCCCAUUACCAAAAUCAAAACCCAACCUAAACAAACCCAAAAUAACCCAAACUCAACCCACCUAAACACUGGCCCAAAAUCCAAAGCCCAAAUUACAAACAAGCCCAAAUAAAGAAAAACCUAGCCCAAACCCAAAAACAAAAAAGAAAGAAACAAAGAAACCCUAGCCCCUAACCCUAGCCUCUGCCGCCGCACCCCACUUGCCCUGCCACCAUCUUUACAAGCCGCCGCACUGCCACCACCGCCACUGUCCCAUUGCCACCAACUCUCCCACUUGUCCCUGCAAACAAUAAAGAAAAAACAGCAGAAUAGCAAAGAGGAGGCUUUAAAAAGCCGAAGCAAAUGUAAUAGGGGGCCGAAUUUCACUACUGUAUUUUAGGGGUUUUUUUGAAAAGAAAACAGAUUCAAUAAAAAUAAAAGAAACAAAGAGGUGAUUUUCAUUUUUUUCUGCUCUUGAGUUCUUUUUCUUUUUCAUUUACUUACGUUUAUUUUUAUUUUUACUUUAUUUUUUGAGUUUUCUUCUAAUUUCAUUUUUUGAAAUAUUUAUAUAAACUAACAUUUGUUUUAAAAAAAAGUCUACAAAUACAUAUACAAAAGAAAAACAGAAGAAAUCUAACCUUUUGAAUUUUCUGGCCACCGGCGGACCUUUCGCCGGAUUUUGGGCCUGUGCUCUAAGAAGGGAGAGAGAGAGGAGAGGUUUUCUGAAAUUUUUUUUGUUUAAAACGGCGCCGUUUUGGAGGAGUUCAGAAAGCCUCAAAACGACAUCGUUUUAACAUAGAUCGGACCGACCCGACCCGAACCGCCAAGGAUCUGCGUGUUUCUGGAUAAAAGGGAUUAUUUGCGCUCUUGGUCCUUCCGCUUUUGAGGCUGUUUACGAUUGGGUCCUAUUUUGUUUUUAUUUUUCAAUUUUGCCACAAAAUUUCAUUUUUCUCUUGAUUUGGUCCUCAAUGAAGUUGUGCGUUUUGGAGGAGAAGGGAAAGUUUCCCUUCCAGUCCCUCUAUGUUAUUCGCGCAUUCAAAUCAAUCCCUCCCUUUUUAUUUAUUUCGAAUCCGCCCCAAAUUUUUGUCUUUUAGUUCGAUUUAGCCCUUAAAACUUGCUAUUUAUUUUUAAUUAAUUAAUAAUAUUAUUAUUAUUACUAUUGAUAUUAUUUAUAUAUUUCUACUUAUAUUUAUGUAACAAGUUUAAAGAUAUUUUAGUUUUCCCAUAUAUUUUUAUUUAUUUACUUAUAUUUUUUAUGAUUUUUAAAUUUUAGAUUAAUUCAUUAUUUUGUUAAUAAUAUUAUUAUUUAAUUAUAAUUAUUGUUUAUUUUAGCUACAAACUUUGAUGUAUAUAUACGUACAUUUUUAUUUGUUAUAAAUAUAUAUAUUUUUUAUGCCUCUUACAUAUACAUAUGUAUAUAUGCCCAUAUAGUUUAAUUCACAUGCAAAUAUAUAUGUAUAUAUAUACUUAUUUUUUAACUUAUAUACAUGUCUGUACAUAUUUUUAACUUUCAUAAAUAUAUGUGCAUGCUUGAAUAUAUACACAUAUCUUAUAAUUUUUAUAUAUAUAAAUAUAUAGAUUUUUACUUUUACAAUUUUAUUUUUGUGUUGUUAUUAUUGCUUUAUCUUAUAUUUAUUUUUGUGUUCAUCAUUAUUUUUAUGAAAUGUUGUCUAUUAUUUCAUGUAUAAUUGUUUUGUCAUCUUUUAUCUAUUUAUUUAUCAUUUUGUUGUGGUUAUUCGUGUUAUGUUUACAUCGUCGUAUUUAUUAUUUUGAUACCCAUAUUAACAUUGUGUUUUACGAUUUUUUUUUGAAUAAGCGAAAUCUCGUGUUUAGAUUCGAGAAGGUCGUACCCUAACUUACUGGGUUUCAAUUUUCAUAAUAAAUCUAAAUACACGAAUCUUUUCAAACUCAAGUUUUUAAACGAUCUCGGGAAUUAAGAAAAGAUCGUGUCCUAACUUACUGGGCAUGAUCCCUUUUCUAAACCCGAGAUAAUUAAAUGUCUUUUUAAAUAAGUAAACUCUGUGGCAUGUAUUCUCGUAUCAGGAAUUCGAUACGUUGUGUCCUAAUGCAUUGGAUAUGACAUGUCGAUUUCUCGAGAUGAAGAUUUUUCUAAAAAAUAAUAGAGGGAAUAUUUGGCAUUUGGAAAUAUGAGAAAACGUGCCCUAAUGUGCUGGGUUUCGAUUUUUCUCGUUCAACCAAAUAGCUAAAUAUCCUUUUUUAAAAAUUUCAAAAUAAGGCAAUGUUUUGCGUUUGGAAAUUCGAGAAAACGUGCCCUAAUGUGCUGGGUUUCGAUUUUUCUCGUUCAACCAAAUAGCUAAAUAUCCUUUUAAAAAAUUUCAAAAUAAGGCAAUGUUUUGCGUUUGGGAAUUCAAGAAAACGUUCCCUAAUGUGCUGGGUUUCGAUUUUUCUCGUUCAACCAAAUAGCUAAAUAUCCUUCCAAAAAUUUCAAAAUAAGGCAAUGUUUUGCGUUUAGAAAUUUGAGGAACGUGCCCUAAUAUGCUGGGUUUCAAUUUCUCGUUGAACCAAAUUGCCAAAUAUCCUCUUGAAUUUUAAUCCAUGCCACUCAAGUUUUUUUAAGGAUCGUAUUUUAAGUUUCUUUAAAGUUUCCAGUUUUUCAACACUAAGACAUUAAGUAAUCAACUAGGUACCAAUUUUGGGCGUAUCGAGGGUGCUAAUCCUUCCUCGUGCGUAACCGACUCCCGAACCCGUUCUUCUGAAUUUCAUGGACCAAACUUGUUGUUUUAAUAAAAUCAAAUCGUUUAUUAAAAACAACCACUUUUCGAGGUGAUCCGAUCACACCUCAUCAAAAAGGAUCGGUGGCGACUCCCGUUUUCGUUUUCAUUUUCCAAAACCCAAGACGACCCCGUUUUCAAUAAAAAAAAUAGGUGUCAACAGCUUGGCGACUCCACUAGGGACUUUAAAUAAGAGAGUCAAGCCACGAGUUGAUUAUUUCUUGUCUUUUUUUCGAAAGUUGAAAAUUUGAUUUAAAUAUAGGAUCCUCUCAUUGCAUUUCAUUUGUUUCGAGUUAUAGUUUUCAUCAUGUUUUGUAUUUUAAAUUUUUAUAUCUCUGCACAUUGCAUUGCAUGACCUUUGGUCACACCUUUUUGAGUGGGAGUGAGAUGCUACUCCUUCAUGAGGUUUUCACCUCCGUGCAGGAUAGCGGAUCACUUUCGGGAUACAUCUGUACCUAUGUCUUCGUGAGAUUUUCAUCUCCGUGCAUCCAUAAGGAAAUGUAUUCCCCUGAACUGAACUCGGUCCGUAUGAGCCUAUAAUGGGUGAGGAUCGAGGAAUCUGCUGGUUCAGGUACCUUUGCUUUAGAGCCGAACCUCAUGUAGUGAACCUAAGAGCCUACCCUAGGUAGAACCACUUCAAACCCCUAGUGGUCACCCGAAUAGGUGUUUUAUUUAUUAUUGCUUGCUUUUGCUUUGUACUAACCUGUUUUGUUUUUUGUUAUGAUUGCAUUGCAUUUUCAUCAUAAAAAGAGGUGUUGAUUCACGUUCGGUUGUUAAAUAGAAAGCUUGUCAUAAGGAAAUGAGUUUCUUGAUAAAGUGGAUAAUAAUACGGUUGUCCGAAUAUGGUCCAAGAAAACAUGAUAAGAAAAGGAUGAUAGUUUAAUGGAGGACUACACGACCAUUGCUCUAUUGCCUGAGAAUUCAAGAUGACAAAGAUUAUUUGAGAGCCGUUGAACUUUCUUAAAGAGAAGACAACGAGCGUCACGAGGAUGAGUGAUUAAUGAGUCCUGACCCGGAUCAAGCAAAAGGGAGAUAGAAGAGACGUCUUUUUGAAAAGUUCGUGAGAUUUAUCUUAACACGUGAAUGAAGAGGAUCGAAUGUCUCCGCCUAUGAGGGCAAGGCCGUAUAUAUAUACCCGCUUUAUGUAAAGAAAUUUGUUUUCUAGUAAAAUUCUAAUAAGAAUUGAACCAAUAAUCAAAAUCUCUUUUUGCAUUCAUGCAUUUGCAUUACAUAACAUCAUGUGCAUUAAGGACCAUCAAAAGACUCUAAUUGAAUAAAAUUAUUUCAGUUAACCUGGAAAACCAACACCCUUAAGGUACUCGGGCAAAAUCAAAGAACAUGGAUCAAAGAUUAGAAAAGCUUGAACAGCUCCAAAGAGAGAUGCAAGACCAAAUACAAGAGCGGCUGGAAAGAAUUCAGCAAGAUAUGACAGAAAAGAUGCGAGAGUCCCAGAAUGACAUGAUAGCACAGUUAACGCAGCUGUUGAGAGAAGGAAACGACAAGGGAAAGGACCCCGUAGUUAAUACUGAAAAGGGAAAUAAUGAUGAACACCUUUACCCUCCAGGCUUUACCCCUCCGCAUGUGCAUACUCAAGUUGAGAUGUACCCACACAAAUCAUCCGUUACACUCAGAUCCCAGUAGUUUCAGAUGCCAAUGAACUUUCAAAUCGGAGUAGGUCCUAACCCCAGAGAGAAUCCUACCAAUCCCGUAGUUCUUGAUCUCGAUGACAUAGCAGAAAUAGAGAAAGUAAAAGUGGAUCUGCCAAAACAAAUAGAAGACCGGUGUAAAUGGCUAGAGGAGAAGUUUAAAGCUAUGGAAAAUGUUGAUUACCACCGAGGAAUGGAUGCUAAAGAUUUGAGUUUGGUACCUAAUUUGGUCCUCCCUCCCAAAUUUAAAAUGUCGGAGUUUGAGAAGUAUAACGGGACAAGUUGUCCCGGAGCUCAUAUCACUAUGUUUUACCGAAGGAUGACCGGAUACAUCAACAAUGUUCAACUGUUGAUUCAAUGUUUUCAGGAUAGUUUGAUCGGGUCAGCGGCUAGAUGGUACAACCAAUUGAGUCGGGCCAACAUCCACUCAUGGAAUGAUUUGGCGCAAGAUUUUAUGAAGCAGUACAGCCAUGUGAUGGAUAUUACCCCUGAUAGAAUUACGUUACAAAACAUGGAGAAGAAACCGAGCGAGAGUUUCAAACAAUACGCAUAAAGAUGGAGGGAGGUUGCUAUCCAAGUUCAGCCGCCACUUCUAGAGAAAGAAAUGACGAUGCUCUUCAUCAACACAUUGAAGGCCCCGUUCAUCACCCGCAUGUUGGGAAGUGCUUCGAAGAGUUUUUCAGACAUAGUCAUGAGCGGUGAAAUGAUUGAAAGUACCGUGAGAAGUGGAAAGAUUGAUGCUGGAGAAAAUAAUAGAAGGUCAGACUUAAAGAAGAAAGAAAACGAGGUGAGCAAUGUGAAUACUUACAAAAAAUUGAUUGCACAGCCAAGAAAGGUGAUUGCAAGUCAGCAAGGUUCAUCUAGACAAGAACCUUGUGUGAAACAAGGUACUGAGAACCUCCAGUUUAUGCCAAUUCCGAUGACGUAUAAGGAGCUGUAUAAAAAGUUAUUCGAUGCGCACAUUGUUUUCCCUUUCUACUCAAAACCCCCACAGCCUCCGUACCCCAAAUGGCACGAUAUGAAUGCACAAUACGAAUAUCAUGCGAGAAAUACGGGGCAUUCCAUAAGAAAGUGCAUUGCCUUUAAAAAGGUGGUUGAAAGACUUAUCAGUAUUGUCAAACUUGAUGAUUCCUCUAGAGCAGAAAAUCCGCUACCCAGUCAUGACUAAUAAUGGAGUGAAUACAAUGCAUGAAGAAGUUGGGAAAUGUUUACAUAAAUGUUAUUUGUGAAAAAGACAACUGAAGAUGGACCUCAUUAGAUAUUCGCCCUUAUAAACUUAGGAGUGUUCUAAAUAAUUAGACUACAGAAUAGAUCCCUGUAGUAUUUAGAGCUUACUCAGAGUAAUAUUUAGAACACACUUGUUGCUUUCAGCCUAGAGGUAACAAGAACUCUUUUGUGAAAUAGGCUCAUGUCUGAACAUCAUUAUUUUAAUGGAAAUGCAUCUUUGCGAUCUUUUUGAACUAAUAUUCUUUCAUUUCUUAUGAAUGAUUAUUUUUAUUCUUUUAUUCUUUCUUCCAAAUCAUUAUGGCAAUCAUAAUCAUAUUGUACAUAACUUCAUAUAUUCUUUGUAUAUUCUUUUGUACCUACAAUAGGUCCCUAAAUAUCAACGACAUGAAUGACACUGUUACAAACUCAGAAUCUCUUUUUGAGCGAGACAUGUGUUUAGAGGGAUCUCACGACUUUGAAGAUGACAUAGAUUAUAGCUUGUCUCCAGACUUAUUAAGGAUGAUAGAACAAGAUGAAAAAAUAGAUCCUACCUUACAAAAGUCAGUGGAUAGUAAGCUUAGGAGAAGAGAAUUAGGUAAAGAUCCGAGUUUGCAUUAUCGCAGAGAUAAAACGAGACGUCAUUGAGUUACUCUAAGAAUUCAAAAAUGAUUUCACAUGAUCAAGAUUCGCCUCAGCUACUUAGACGUGUAAACGCUGUUGAAGCUAAAAAAUAUUAGAAGAAGUCUAUAAGGGUGUCUGAGGAAUACAUGCUAAUAGUUUUGCAAUAGCCAAGCAAAUCAUAAGAUUCGGGUACUACUGGUCCACCAUGGAAGAGGGUUGCAUUAGUUAUACCAAAUGCCAUUUAUGGAGUCAAGAUUUAUGUGGUUCCCUCAUCUCUUCAUGUUAUGACCUUCCCAUAGAUUUUCUCUAUGUGGGGCACGGAGGUGAUAGGGUCCAUCUCGUCAAAAGCUUUUAGCCAAUAUCAAUUCAUCUUUGUGGUCUUCGAUUACUUCACUAAAAGAGUGGAAAUAGCUUCAUAUACCAAUGUCACAAGGUCGAAGUCAUUAAAUUCCUUUCAAAAAAACCAGGUGUCGAUGAAAAGCAAAAAACAAAAAGACAAUGUCAAAAGUUUUUAGUCUGUUCAAAUAUCAGAUGCCGUAGGCAACCAAAAAAAAGAUCGUGAGAAAGAUGACCGAGACUUGUAAAUAUUGGUACAAGAAAGUUACCAUUCACCCUCUAUACUCAUCAAACGUCAGCUAGGACCUUUGCCGGGGCAACACCUGGCCCAUUGGUUUAAGGAAUGUUAAAAACUUCCCUUCAUGGUCAAAUGAUGUGAGCUUACGACAAAGAGAUUCGUCCUAGAGAAGGUGGAUGCCAAAUUGGAAAGGACCUUAUGUUGUAAAAAAGGCCUGUUCUGGAAUAGCACUGAUAUUAACCAAGAUGGAUGCCAAAGACUUGCCCAAUCUGGUGAAUUCAAAUUCAGUCAAGAAGUAUUUUACCUGAAAAUGAAGAAACCAAGGUAAAAACCCACAAAGGGUGUCUUGGGUCCUAAAAAAAAACUCUGCCAGGGCAAUGUCGUUCUCUUGGGCCUAUCGCGGUUUUGCCUAUUGAAGACGAGAUUCUUUCUCUCUGAGUUUUUGGAUCCAAUCUCAAUCAAAGAGGAAUGUUUAAAGUUAUCCAUCAUGGUCAAAUGCGCCAAAAGCAAACGAUGCGAGCUCAAAAAAAAAGUUCGUCUUAGAGAAUUCCAUAAGAAGGACCUGGUAUUGAAGAAGAUCCUUCCCAUACAAAAAGAACCUCAUGCCAAGCUGGGAAGGGAUAACAAGGACAUUCCUAAUCCUAUGAGUUUAGAGCCAAUCAAAAAUGUUUCAAAAAAACAUAAAAAUAAAAGAAAACAAAAAAAAAACAAAAAAAAUAGAAUAAGAAGAAGACGAAGAGAAAAGAAAAGAAAAAAAAUGAGAGGCCAAGGUGAAAACCCGCAAAGGGCGCCUUGAGACCAAAGGGGAUUUGAGUUGAAAACCCAAAAAGGGCGGCUCAAAUUUUGGAACAAAAUGGGGCACGAAGUGAUCAGAGCGACUCAAAUUUUGGAACAAAAUGGGGCACGAAGUGAUCAGAGCGACUCAAAUUUUGGAUCAAAUUGGGGUAUGAUGGUGAUCAGAACAGCUCAAAUUUUGAUCAGAUCGGGGCAUAUGAUGAUCUUGCCAUACCUAAAUCAACAAGAAAAGGUAGGCGACAUCUUGGAUCAUCGACAAAGUCCUGAAGAUCUCCUAAACACAUGUCAAACUCAGAAUGGUCUUUCAAAAAGUUUGUACAGAGAAGUUCAAGCUGCGAUAUCUGGGGCAUCGUCCUUAUACUAUUUAUAUUGAAUUUGUUAUUCUUGGAAUACUUCUUUCUUUUCCAAGAUACAUGUUCCAAUCAAUUCUUCUUUUUAUUCUUGUUAUUCUUGAUAACUUCGAGUUAUGCUCAGAACCAAUUUUUUUCUUAUCCAUUGUUAUGACCCUUUCUAUAAGCAUGUUGCAUGGGAAUAACGAUUAAUGAACUAAUAAAACUUUCACAAGGGAAGUUUUGCAUAUUACUCUAAAAGUUUCUAAAUAAUACAGGAACCUAAAACAAGACUAUUGUUUAGAACGUACCAAGUUUAAAGGAUGGAAAACUGAGAAGAAAGAGUCCAAAUUAAGACUUUCUCUUUGGAUUUUGUUGUCAAAAACAUUGAUUGAGCAAAAUGAUAAGAUGUCGUAUCAGUAAUAAGGCUUCAAUAAACAAGCAAGCAAUAACCACCAGGCAAUAGGAAGAGGUUUCCUUAGAGAAGAAAUUCCUCAUUUUUUGCAUAAACAUUUGGUAUGACACCUUAGGAAUGGGGUAAAAGACUAAAGAGCUCCACAUUCUGUAUCCUUGAAUUGCGAUAGGAGAGGAUUGAGAAAAGCCAUAUUUUUCUACCCUUGGGUUACAGUGGGAGAAUGAUGGUACAUUUUUUUACGUCCUAAUGGAUUGAACUUUGACGUUCACAAUAGGGGCAAUCAGAUUAAGUGUUUCAUUGGAUACACCAGCCGAGCAAGAAGGCGUUAUAGCACAUCGGAGAUAAAACCUUAAUAAGCUUUUGAGUAAUGAUAACCUAAGCAUUAAAAAAUCAUUUUCAUGACAUUUUGCAUUCAUGCAUACACAUUUAGCCAAGAUAUUUUGAUUCAUUUCGAUCAUGAUCACUAGGCAUAAAUAGGUUCAUACAGGUCAUGUUCCCCAAAGAACAGAUCAAUGAAGAUGGCAGAUCUUGUUUUUCUGAACCGAUAGUGAAGCAGAUCGAAGAAACCAUAGUUUUCAAUUUAAAAUAUUGAAGCCACAACGGCGAAUCUUAUUUCCUAGGCAAUGCAGCAGAACAGAUUGAAGUCACAACAGCAAAUCUUGCUUCCCCGAUAUUGCAAUUCAAAAGAUUGAAGCCACAACGGCGAAUCUUACUUCCCAGGCGAUGCAGCGGAACAGAUUGAAGCUACGACGGUGAAUCUCACUUCCCCGACAUCGUAAUUUAAAAUAUUGAAGCCACAACGGCGAAUCUUACUUCCCAGGCGAUGCAGCGGAACAGAUUGAAGCUACGAUGGCGAAUCUCACUUCCCCGACAUUGCAAUUCAAAAGAUUGAAGCCACAACGGUGAAUCUUACUUCCCAGGCGAUGCAGCAGAACAGAUUGAAGCUACGACGACGAAUCUCACUUCCCCGACAUUGCAAUUUAAAAGAUUGAAGCCACAACAACGAAUCUUACUUCCUCGGCGAACAGAUUGAAGAUAGUAAAUCUUAUCUCUCUGAAGUUGCAGUAGAGCAGAUUAAAGCUAUAAACCACAGAUCUUAUCUCUUUGAAGUUGCAGUAGAGUAGAUCACAUCAGACUUUAUUUUCUUAAAGAUGCAGUAAAACAAGUUGAAGAUACAAGUCUUAUCCCCCUAAAGUUACAGUGGAGCAGACUGAGCUACUAAUCCUAUCUCCUUGAAGUUACAGUGGAGUAGAUUAAAAUGAUGAAUCCUAAACCUCUAAAAUUACUGUAGGACAGAUUAAAUCUACCACAAUAAGACUUAUCUCACUGAGGUUUGGAGCAGACUAAAACCACGAACCUCGUCCCCUGAAGUUCCUGCGAAAAAAAUUGAAGCUACAAGUCAGAUCUCUCUGAAGUUGCAGCAGAAUGGAUUGAAGCAACAAGGCACAGUGGACUGGAGUGAAGCUACUUGAAGAGAAGCGUCCAGAACAAGUCAAGAAUCGAUGAAACCGAGCAAAUUUGGUCUUUCCUAGUCUUUGCUUCAUUCUCAUUACACGACAAUGAAGCAAAGAGGGGUAGCUGUACAGCCCAAAUUUUUGCACGAGCCCAUUACCAAAAUCAAAACCCAACCUAAACAAACCCAAAAUAACCCAAACUCAACCCACCUAAACACUGGCCCAAAACCCAAAGCCCAAAUUACAAACAAGCCCAAAUAAAGAAAAACCUAGCCCAAACCCAAAAACAAAAAAGAAAGAAACAAAGAAACCCUAGCCCCUAACCCUAGCCUCUGCCGCCGCACCCCACUUGCCCUGCCACCAUCUCUACAAGCCGCUGCACUGCCACCACCGCCACUGUCUCAUCGCCACCAACUCUCUCACUUGUGCCUGCAAACAAUAAAGAAAAAACAGCAGAGUAACAAAGAGGAGGCUUUAAAAAGUCGAAGCAAAUGUAAUAGGGGCGAAUUUCACUACUGUAUUUUAGGGGUUUUUUUGAAAAGAAAACAGAUUCAAUAAAAAUAAAAGAAGCAAAGAGGUGAUUUUUGUUUUUUUCUGCUCUUGAGUUCUUUUUCUUUUUCAUUUACUUACUUUUAUUUUUAUUUUUACUUUAUUUUUUGAGUUUUCUUUUAAUUUCAUUUUUCAAAAUAUCUAUAUAAACUAACAUUUGUUUUAUUAUUUUCUUUUAAAAAAAAGUCUACAAAUACAUAUACAAAAAAAAAGAAAUCUAACCUUUUGAAUUUUCCGACCACCGUGUAUGGUGGCCGGCGCGGCGGUGACGCGGCGGACCUUUCGCUGAAUUUUGGGCCUGUGCUCGGAGAAGGGAGAGAGAGAGGAGAGGUUUUCUAAAAUUUUUUUUGUUUAAAGAAGGGAAAAAUGAUUUUAAACGGCGCCGUUUUGGAGGAGUUCAGAAAGCCUCAAAACGACGUCGUUUUAACAUGGAUCGGACCGACCCGAACCGACAAGGAUCCGCGUGUUUCUGGAUAAAAGGGGUUAUUUGCGCUCCUGGUCCUUCUGCUUUUGAGGCUGUUUACGAUUGGGUCCUAUUUUGUUUUUAUUUUUCAAUUUUGCCACAAAAUUUCAUUUUUCUCUCGAUUUGGUCUUCAAUGAAGUUGUGCGUUUUGGAGGAGAAGGGAAAGUUUCCCUUCUAGUCCCUCUAUGUUAUUCGCGCAUUCAAAUCAAUCCCUCCCUUUUUAUUUAUUUCGAAUCCGCCCCAAAUUUUUGUCUUUUAGUUCGAUUUAGCCCUUUAAACUUGCUAUUUAUUUUUAAUUAAUUAAUAAUAUCAUUAUUGUUAUUACUAUUGAUAUUAUUUAUAUAUUUCGAUUUAUAUUUAUGUAACAAGUUUAAAGAUAUUUUGGUUUUCCCAUAUAUUUUUAUUUAUUUACUUAUAUUUUUUAUGAUUUUUAAAUUUUAUAUUAAUUCAUUAUUUUGUUAAUAAUAUUAUUAUUAUUUACUUAUAAUUAUUGUUUAUUUUAGCUACAAACUUUGAUGUAUAUAUACGUACAUUUUUUUAUUUGUUAUAAAUUUAUAUUUUUUUUAUGCCUCUCAUUUUUACGUACAUAUACAUAUGUAUAUAUGCCCAUAUAGUUUAAUUCACAUGCAAAUAUAUAUGUAUAUAUAUACUUAUUUUUUAACUUAUAUACAUGUACAUAUUUUUAACUUUCAUAAAUAUAUGUGCAUGCUUGAAUAUAUACACAUAUCUUAUAAUUUAUAUAUAUAUACAUAUAUAGAUUUUUACUUUUACAAUUUUAUUUUUGUGUUGUUAUUAUUGCUUUAUCUUAUAUUUAUUUAUGUGUUCAUCAUUAUUUUUAUGAAAUGUUGUCUAUUAUUUCAUGUAUAAUUGUUUUGUCAUCUUUUAUCUAUUUAUUUAUCAUUUUGUUGUGGUUAUUCGUGUUAUGUUUACAUCGUCGUAUUUAUUAUUUUGAUACCCAUAUUAACAUUGUGUUUUACGAUUUUUUUUGAAUAAGCGAAAUCUCGUGUUUAGAUUCGAGAAGGUCGUACCCUAACUUACUGGGUUUCGAUUUUCAUAAUAAAUCUAAAUACACGAAUCUUUUCAAACUCAAGUUUUUAAACGAUCUCGGGAAUUAAGAAAAGAUCGUGUCCUAACUUACUGGGCAUGAUCCCUUUUCUAAACCCGAGAUAAUUAAAUGUUUUUUAAAUAAGUAAACUGUGGCAUGUAUUCUCGUAUCAGGAAUUCGAUACGUUGUGUCCUAAUGCAUUGGAUAUGAUAUGUCGAUUUCUCGAGAUGAAGAUUUUUCUAAAAAAUAAUAGAGGGAAUAUUUUGCAUUUGGAAAUAUGAGAAAACGUGCCCUAAUGUGCUGGGUUUCGAUUUUUCUCGUUCAACCAAAUAGCUAAAUAUCCUUUUUAAAAAAUUUCAAAAUAAGGCAAUGUUUUGCGUUUGGAAAUUCGAGAAAACGUGCCCUAAUGUGUUGGGUUUCAAUUUUUCUCGUUCAACCAAAUAGCUAAAUACCCUUUUAAAAAAUUUCAAAAUAAGGCAAUGUUUUGCGUUUGGGAAUUCGAGAAAACGUGCCCUAAUGUGCUGGGUUUCGAUUUUUCUCGUUCAACCAAAUAGCUAAAUAUCCUUCCAAAAAUUUCAAAAUAAGGCAAUGCUUUGCGUUUGGAAAUUCGAGGAACGUGCCCUAAUGUGCUGGGUUUCGAUUUCUCGUUGAACCAAAUUGCCAAAUAUCCUCUUGAAUUUUAAUCCAUGCCACUCGAGUUUUAUUAAGGAUCGUAUUUUAAAUUUCUUUAAAGUUUUCAGUUUUUCGACACUAAGACAUUAAGUAAUCAACUAGGUACCAAUUUUGGGCGUAUCGAGGGUGCUAAUCCUUCCUCGUGCGUAACCGACUCCCGAACCCGUUCUUCUGAAUUUCGUGGACCAAACUUGUUGUUUUAAUAAAAUCAAAUCGUUUAUUAAAAACAAUCAUGGACUCAUAUCUUUGCUUUGAAAACAUAGAAAAGUCAUUUUGUAAUUUUUCUGGAAGUGAGAAGGAUUAAGAAAAUAAAUGAUUUACUUUUAGCCUUUUGGAUUAGAGCUCUCUGGUUUAUCCCCAAAAAAUGGCUUCCUUUUGCUUACUACGAUUGAUUUUGAUUGUCGUUUUCCCUUGUUUUGAUUUUCUGUGAGUUCCAUAGUUGAAGAAGGUCGUCAAAGGGUCUUAUUUUCUAUCAUCCUUUUGUUUCCUUGUUUGAAUUAGUUUUGGAAAACGAUGAUGAUAGAGGCAUGUAACGAUGCUAGGUCGAGGCUUGAGUGGCAACGACUUGAACAGAUUUUAGCGAUGGUGUUGGAGAAGAAACAAUAGAUGAAGAAGCAAAGAGAGAAGAGACGGUGAUGGGAUGAAAAUUUAAUUAUUUAAUUAAUAAAAAGUGAAAAUAAAUUAAAUAUGUAAUAUAAUUGGUCCUUUAAUACACGUGUCAUAAUUUGAUUGAUGAUAUUAAAAAUUUAAUGGUAUUAAUAUUAGUCAUGUACUUAAAAUGGGUAUGAUUUUCUAGUUUAAAUACCAAGUAGAAAAAAAUAUAUUAAGUACAAAUUGUAAAGUUUAAGGGCUGAAAACCCAUUUUCGGAUUGACCAAAGCGGUUUUCGGCAAACAUGGAAAAAUACGAAAAUUGUUUUCCUGAAUGAGAAAAAAAAACCAGAAAUCAUGCCAUACGGGGGCCGAUCAAAUAUAAUCAGCACAAAAAGGGAUAUACUACUACAGCAUAAAUGAUAAAACCAUGAAGCUAGAAAAAAAACUUGAAUUCGACUUAACUUACUCAGUCCAGCUAUUGAGCAAGUCAAAGUUAAAUAUCUUUAUACUUUAUUCCACUAACAUGCUAGCUUAAUCAAGCUUUUCUUUCUUUUUUCCCUUUUGGAACAAAGCUUUUUGUUUUCUAAUUAUGAAAAUUUUCAACAUAAAAAAGAAUCUACCUUGAAAUUGAGUAUGAAAAUGCUUAGUCAAGCACUAGCUUGAGAUAAAGUUCGAUUACACCUCCUUAAGCACAUCUAACACUAAAUUACCUAGGAAAUCUAGCAACUACGUUUAUUUCCUAUUCAGCUGUAUUGUACUGCCACUUUAAAUAUACUACAAGUUUUUUCUUCUUUUUUCUUUUCUUUUACUUACCUCCAUCUCCAUUCCGAAAUGGUUUCCGAGGCAUCCACCGCAGAGGGUUCAAAGCAUUUGUGUAUCUGUCUACGCAACACAACUUUUGUCUUAACCUGAAAUUGUCUGCUUAUGUGGUAAUGAUUGAUCUGUUAGCUAUGUAUUGUAAAGAAGAGCCAUGAAGGCAGAAGUACCUCCUUUUAAACAAAUAUGGUCAAACCUUUACAAACUCCAUGAUAUACAAACAUUUUACGGUUGUCUUGAAUUUGUAGAGAUAGAUAAACUCAAUUUUUCCCAGAGCAAACAAUGAUUCCCACUAAUGAAACAAAUCAAAUACAAGAUCAAGCACGAGAACAAGCCCCUCCAAAUGAAAGACAUUACCAGAAAAAGCCGAUAACAUAUAAGGGAAACUCAUAGAUUUAUCCUUUUAUCACUUCACUUCUUCAGAACACUGCAAAUGAAGAACAAUUAGGGGAGACUUCUCAAUGAUAAAAACAACAGAAAUAGGAGAACAAGUCAGUUAAUCCAUUAACAGCAUUUCCACAUAAAAUCAUUACUAAGAAAAAUCCAACAUCUAUCACCAACCAAAGAUAACUGAAGCACACAGUAUAGCAAGUUCCACUACAGUAAACUGUAUGAAUAUCGAGAAUACAGGACACAGUUUGUGGUUAGUAUUAAAAGGAAGCUUUUUUAAAUGAAGGCAUGAGAUAGAAUCUUACUUGUACAAAUAGGCAGCUAUUCCCAGAACUAUGCACAGCAAUACGAUAUCAAUACAGAAAUUUCGGCUGGACCUCAACUGGAACAAACCAAUAACUUAUGUUACAUCCAGCAAAGAAGUAAACAAAGAUGAAAUGCAUGGGAAUCAACACUUAAUGAAGUUAUAAUUGAUCACCUGUGUGACAGUAUCUUUAAGUCUAACAUUGGUAUUCUUAAGGUCAGCAGCUGCCUUGUCCACCUGCAAAUGUGUAUAGAAACAGAAUAUAUAUAUUGCAAUUUUGUAAUCUUUAAGCAGUUUCUACGAUGUACAACAAGACGAUGGUUAUAAUGUUCACCUUGGUGUCAAUUUCAUCCAUCAAAGGAACUUGCCUAUCUAGUUCCAGCAGAUACCAUAGCAUACAAUUAAGUAAAUGGCAUGAAUGUUACACUUACUCGAAAAAAAUACUUCAUAACAAAUAUUUGUAAUUAUAAAUGACGCUCAGGUCAGCUUUACCUCAUUCAUAUCAUGAGCCAUGUUCUUUAAAGUAUCCAAACCUUCUGAAAUAUAUCCAAACCUUGGUCCUGCAUGGAUGUCAAAAGCAAUAAAAGGUAAAUCAUAGCUAAAGAAAUGUGGUGUAUACAGGUAAAAGUCAAUCAAGAUUCCUUCCAAUAGAGGAAAAUGUUCAUAAAGAAUAGCUCCCAAACAAGUUUGACAUGCCUGCUUCAUUUUCCUCAUUUCAUACUCCUGCCUGAACUGACUUGACUGCUCAGAUUCUUGAAAGUAUUCGUUGUCAAAUCGCUCAUCUAUGACCAAUAUGAUUAUGUAAGUACAACGGAAAAAAUAAGAUCUUCCAGACAUAAAAGUUCCACAGAUCAUAAAGGAAUUACUGAUAAGCCAUGCAUUAUAAACUAUAAGAUUGAGAAUUUCUUGCUGCAAGCAGUCUGAUGGUAACAAAGAAUGAACAACAGUCUUGCAGAUAUGAGCAUAAGCUAAGCAACCUCCUUGCUUUAUUAUUUUUGAAGCUAUAAAAUAUGAAUUACAAUGGUUUUUAAUAUAUUAGAGAAAGCACUCAAAUGCUCACUCUCGCCACCUUUUAGUUGGGUUCCUACUCUUAUUUCUAUUUCUCCAUCUUUAUUUCCAAAUUUUUCUCUCUUAUCUUUGAAUCAAAUCUUGUUUUUGAUCCAUUUUUUUCCCAAUUUUCCCUCUCAUGUUUGCAUCAGCUAAUUGAAAGACAAAGCAAUGUUCUUCAAUCAUUAUGGAAGGUUCUACCAAAUAAAAACAAACCAUUCCACCCUACCCAACAACAGAAAGCAAAUGGAAAAAAUGAUGAUAACACAAACGGUGUGCAUUUUUAGUCAAAAUGGUAGAAAUAAAGAUUUAAAUCUAGACACUGGCAAGUUUAACAGGUCAGGAAACAGCUAAACAUGAAGUCUCCAUCCAUACAAUCUCAAUAAAUUUAACAAGAAAUUUCAAUGGAGUUAAGGAUCACCUGAAUCAAACUUAAUUGCAGUACGAGAAGCUGAAGGUGCUGAAGACAUCCAGCCCCCAGUUUGUUUAGUAGCAGCAGUUCCAUCAGGUAUAGCUUGAAUCCUGUCCGGCAAUGCAAGGACCAGAUCAUUACGAGUAGCCAUCUCUUCAGUUGAAAUCCCUUUAACCUGUAAAUGAAUCCAAACUCUAUCACAAUGGAAGUCCAAACUAGUCAAUUGUCCAAGUCCAAAAUAGCAUAUUCCAAAUACCUCUAAAUAUGUAAAAACAAAAUACAUUAUAGUAAAAAAAAAGGUCAAUCUGUUAGCUUGAACAACAUUAUGAAUGUAUGAAUAGUUAAACGAGCUCACAUUUACAAUAAAUUGUUAAACAAUUUGGGAAAUUGUAAAAGAGAAGGAAAAAAGUUAACCUUCUUAACAGCCAAUCUCUGCAGCGUAGGGACCUCCUCAAGCAAUCGAGCCUUGGUUCGACGAAUCUCAGCAUUGACUGCAACAGCAGAUGCCUUACUUUUCUCCUUGGAAGCAAGUUCCACUUUCUAAAUCAAAAAAAAUAACUCAAAUCGAAGGCAAUAAAACCCUAAUUAUUACUGAACAACUAUCAAUUAAGCAGAGGAAGACUGACACUCUAAAUCUCAAAUAGCAAGCUUAAACCUAACAAUCUCAACCAAGAGAAGAUGAAAGAAUUAGAUUAGAUCGGAGCUACCUCAAGAGCGGAUUCAAUGUCGGCUUCGACUGCGGCGUAAGCGCGAGCAAAAGCAUCACCGCCGGAGACAUUUUGGUCACGCUGCUUUUCGACGUCGUAUUUAUCGUACCUCUUGCAGAUCACAUCUACUCUUGUCAAUAUAUCGAUUACACUCAUUUUGUUUUUCUUUUGAGUUUCAAAUUCAAUCAAUGUAGCUGUUUGGAUGUGGGAAAAAAUUGAGAGAAUAAAGAGUUGGAAUUUCUUCGUUUCUGUUUGUUUCCCCUGUAAACGUCGUUCACCGAACUAACUCCAGAUUCAAAGAAUAAACAGUAUCAAUAAUUAAACAUUAGGAGUAAACUAGAGCUGCUCAUGGCCGGGCCGGGCCGGGUUUGGGUCUGGCCCAGAAAAAAUUUCAGCCCGGGUUCUAGGCCCGGGCUGGCCCGAAUUAUGGGCUUGAAAUUUUGUCUAGACCUGGCCCGGGAAAACAUUCAUAAGCCCGGAGUCCGGCCUGGCCCGACUCAUUUUUUUUAAUAAACACCAAAAUUUUAUUUUAAAAAUAAAAAAAUUUAAAAAGUAUUUUAAAAACACUUUAAAAAUAAAAAAGUAUUUUAAAAAUAUUUUAAAAUUAAAAAAUAAAAAUAAAAAGUAUUUUAAAAAUAUUUUAAAAUUAAAAAAUAAAAAAGUAUUUUUAAAAUAUUUUAAAAUUAAAAAAAUAAAAAAUAUUUUUUAUAUUCGGGUCUGGCCCAAGCCAAAAAAGUGGUGCCCGAGACCCGGCCCGUUUUCUAAACGGGCCUCGUUUUUUUGCCCAAGCCCAUAUUUCGAGCCUAUAUUUUUACCUGAACCCUCUCAUAUUUCGGGCCGGCCGUCGGGCCGAGCGGGUCAACCCGUUUUUCAUUUUUCACGACAGAGUAAUAUUUUUAAAAAAAAAUCUUGAUAUUAUGUAAAUUUAAGGUGAAAUCAAAGGGUAAAAAUAUCUUGAGAGGUCAGAUUAUAUUAUGCUUGAUUUUUUUAUUAAAGUUUUAUUUAUUUUUACAGUUAAAAAUAGUAUAUGAAUUUUUUUUUUUUUGAAUAAUCGACUGGGCUAUUAUUAAAAGCUUGAAAUAUAAAAGUUCAAGAACAAAAUCCCAGCAGUGCUGGGCUGGAUAAAAAAAAUAAACAAAAAUAAAACGUAGGCUACAAGCCCAAAUAAGUAAAAACAGAAAAUAAAGCCUAAAAAAACAUAAAUCAAAACGUCAUUUCCCAGUCAACUCAACCAGCCUGGCCUCCAUUAUUUUUCAUCUUUUCAUUUCCAAAGCACCAGGCUUUUCAGAUGAUAGCAUUAAAAAUGUCUGCUUUAGCUAUCUCUUGCCGUUUCAUUUCCAUUCCAUCAAAUCCUUUCAAUCAGGUUUUCGUGGCCAUCUUUCUCCUGAGUCCAGAUCUUCUCUCGUCUCUUCCACCAGGUAACUCCCUUUCCCUUUUCUUAGUGCCUCUUUCGCCAGGUCAUGCGCCUUACCAUUCUCUGUUCUUUGUAUGAAUCGAAAAACAAUGUUUUGGAAUCGAUUUUUGUUGUUCUGAAUAUCAAUCAUGAUCGCACUUAGAACCGAUUUAUCUUUGACCCCUACUUUGCACCUGUUGAUUAUUGUUUUCGAAUCCCCCAUUACCGUGACUGAGUUAAAGCCCAAUCUAAUGCCUAAUCUGGUUGCUUCUAAACAUGCCAAUGCUUCUGCUACAAACAGAGAGGAAAUGUUGGAGUGAAGAGUGGACUUAGAGACUACGAUUUCCCCAUUUUGACCCCUGGCUACCAUUCCUGAUGCUGAUUUGGAGUUGGUGUCGAAAGCUGCGUCAAACUGUAUGGACUUCCCUAGUACCUCUUCUCUGUGUUCGGAUCUACCAGUCGUGGUGGUAAUUUUUCUUUCUCGCACAACUUCAAGCUCUCCUAAGUAACUCUGUACUUUAAUAGUUAGAUCCCUUCCUGAUGAACUCUUCCUUUCAUGGAGCAUCUGAUUUCUCGAGCUCCAGAUAACCCAUAAGGUGCAACAAAAAAUACGGAUCUGCUCCUUUGUUCCUCUACUGAAUACCCAAGUGAGCCAUGACCAUGUAUUCUGAUCUGUAUGUUCUGUUACCCAUGCCAUAUUGAGACUAAUCCAUGCAUCCAUGCUUAUAGGACAUUGUCUGAACACAUGAAAGCUGUCUUCUUCUUCAGAACAACCACGUGGACACCUUGCAGUAGUGGUCACUCUCUUUUGUCUGAGGUUAGCAAGUGAAGGGAUGUAGUUCCAAGAUAUUCGCCAUACGAGAAUUAGGAUUUUUGUUGGUAACUGUAAACUCCAUAAUUUCCUGUAGAAAUCUUUGGUAUCGGUCUGUAAUAAAUAAUUACUAGGAUCCAAGCUAGCUUCUUGUAAUAGUUUGUAGGCAAUUUUAAUACGAGGUAUAUGUGAUACAUUAUGUGACUUUCAUCAGUUAUAUUAGUUUUUAAUAGAAAUGACUAAUUUACUCUUUGAGCAAAAUGUAAUUUGACUCUUAGGGUGCGUUUGGUUCGCUGUAUUGGAUUAGAGGUGUAUUGGAUUAGAGGUGUAUUGGGAUUAGAGGUGUAUUGGAUUAGUGGUGUAAUAGCUAAUCCACUGUUUGGUUGAAUGUAAUGGAAUAGAGGCGUAAUAGUAAUCUUGUGUUUGGUUGAAUGGAAUAGAGGUGUAAUAGCAUAAUGGAAAAAACUAAAAUGACUAGAAUACCCUUAGCAUAAAAUUAUUUUGGUAAAUGAUUAUUGUUAUUGUUAUUUAAAUUUUAAUAAGAUUAUUAUUAUCAGUAAUAAAUAAUUUAAUCAUAUUUUAACAUAAUUAUUAUUAAAUAUAUUUUAAUUAAAAUAUAUAAUUUAUAAUUUAUAAUAAAUUUUCACAUUAUAUAAUUAUACAAGUUUAGAUACAGAUGUAACAUAAAGUUUUAUGCAUGACUAUUUAUUUGGUGUGUUAAUAAUGAAGUUUUUUAAUUUCAUAUUGGGGUUAAUAAAUCAUUAAGUUUUCUUAAUUCAUAUGUUUUUUUUUAAAUAAAAAAAAAUCGAUAUAGCUUUGUUUGUGAAAUUGGACUGUAAGUGUACUAAAUAAUAAUAAGAUGCAAGUGGUGCAGAGUGAACGUAGAAGUUUUAUACGCGUAAAUUUGUUGAAUCGAAUAAAUCCCAAUAACAAUAGCCGUGAUUCAAAUAAACUCAGCUUGAAUUCAAAAUGAUUUUACCCAAAAAUUGAUUCUAACAAUUAAUCUUUUUAAGGAUGUCUACUUAAAAAGUGCAGACAUAAAAGUUGUUAUUUUGAUGAAUUUGGAGACGUUAAAUAUUCGUCUCGCGCGCACUUUUAGUUCGGUAUUGUGAUUUAGUUAAAAAUUUGAAAUUAUUACUCUUUUUUGGUAAAACAAAGAGUUGGAACAGAUGGUAAAUAGCAUAAUCAGACAACAAAGGUCAAUAAUCAUCCAACAUUUGAUUCCUAUCAUUCCAUUCUCAAGCUAAUUCGAAAAGAAGACGGUUCCUCAAGCUUGAAAGCUCUUUUCAGUCAACCUCCUAUUUCCUCUUGUCCGUUUAUUUACCUUGGAUUUUAACUUUAAGCGUCCAAUUAUACCUUCCUUCUGGGAGCGGUAUGGAUUUUGGCAUCCGCAAUUGCACAUCAAACAGUCCAAAUGUUUCCAAAGGUGUUGGAAGGUGCAGAUUUUCAGGAUCAAUUUGAACGCAAAGCUGCCUUCCAACCUGAAAUGGAAUAAAAGGAGGAGAUUAAUCGAGUGCGUAAAUGGAAAUAACAAAAUCAUAACAUUUCAAGUCCACAUCUUAAACGUUUUAUGAUUAAGCUAUGUCACUUGGACUUGAAGCGAGUGUUUGACAUGGGUUUAUUCAAUUUGCUCCAAGUUUACUCACAUAUUUGGAGGAUAUAACCAUGUACAUAUCUAAAUACGCGUCGAACAUAAAUACUUCAGAAAAAUAAGAGUCCGAAUAACAUAGCAUAUAACACAAGGAGAUUGUCUAUUGUAGUGACGUGAGAGAAACUAUUACUAUCAAUAAAUAUCAUGGCCAUACCUCAGCAACAAUUUCAUCUUUUGUCACAGGUGAGCGCAAUUCAAUUGGGUCAUCUUUGGUCGAUUGGGCACGAAACUUUUCAACAUUGAUAGAUCUCCUCAAUACCUAUAAAAUGCAAUACAAGUUACACACUCGUACCACAAAGAGCCUGACAUAAAUACAAUUACUGUUUUCAAGCUUCAACAAACUUUUGAAAAAGAUUCACCACUAACAAGUUGAAUCAAUUAUGACUAGUCUAGUGGCAACUUGUUGUAUGUGGGUUCAAGUGUUGGCAUGCUAUCUAGGGUUUGAACCUUGUGAAACCCCAUCCUCCUCCCACUUAGAAUGUAAUGUAAGCUUUGCUUGUACCAAAAAAGAAUUUAAACAAGUCUUAAUUUAAAAUUUGACACCAUUGUUAUCCCACAUAUGCCUAGUUCCACUAUUGUUAGCCUAACCAUAGAAGAGGCAGGUCCAAUGUUUCAGUCCCACACACCUUGACCUUGUUUCCCCAAACCCUUUAAAAACACACACAUACAAACAUUGUUGAGAGGCUGUUUUUUGUGUAUUUCCAUGUGUUGGGAGGAAGGCAGAUAAAGUAUCAGACAUUUAAACCAGAAAAAAACAUUUACGAAAUUAAGGGCUUCAUAGAUGGGAACUAACCAGCCGGCCAUUAAGUAGACGAUAUGCAGCCUUUUCAUAUACUUUGCUCUUAUCUUCCAUAUUCUUUGUAACUACUUGAACCUCUUCUUCCUUCGGUUGAUAAAUCUGAUGAGGAAGUAUACCACUGGUAAGUUAUCAUUUAACUGAAAAUGAAAAGCACAAUAUCCCACAUAUCAGAAGUGACUCCACCAAAUAAAGACUUUCAAAACAGUAACUUAAUUUGACAAAACUACAUAAGCAGAAUGUGCAUCUGAAAUAAGGAAUGGAUUUUUACUUCAUCAAUAUCUAAUAUCCAUACGCAACAUAUGAAUCCUCAAUAAGAGUGAGAGAGUGAGAGAGAACGCAAGAUUUAAUAUACUUGCAGUUGGAGACAUGUUUCCUCCUUAAGGCUGAAAUAGCAGAUAAUACAUGUCUAAGAAAAGGCAUUACUUAUAUCAUAACAAGCAAAAUCUAACCAAAAACCAACAGCAAUAUGAAAACACUGUUACUCAGACUCUUCAUUUUCCUAAAAAACCUGUGUCAGACACAUUCGGAUAUAAAUAUGUGUAUGAUCUUCUAAAUAUACAGAAAAACUUAGAAAAAACAAGUAUACUUGUGUCGAACACUUAAUUGUAUCUAGCACUCACCCCCUAUGUUAGAUGGACUAUUCAUUUCUGUAAUAUAUUUUUGUCCGAUACAUAUACAGACAUAGUAUAGAGAUAUACUCCUCCAAAUACAAGAAAAAAACCUUAAAAGCAACAUAUACUCAUAUCGGUCACAUUCACAUAUCCAAAUCCACUCCCAAGUCCAGCCAACAUAGCUUACCCCAUAAUCCGAGCAACAAACUGAAAACGUUCUACCUUUAUGUCAAGCUUGUUUUUCCUUGAACGUGUCAUGACAAAAGGUUCAUGAGAGACUUAGGUAAUGCAUACAGAUGUGUGUGUUUAAGGGAAAACAAAUUGAUGCAUAUUUGUUUGUAAAUUAACAAUACGAUUAUGAUUAAUAUCAACUGAAAAACUUCUUUUUAUAAACAAACAGCAUUGCAAGAACACAUGUUUCAAGCAUCAAACACAAACUAAAAGAGAGAAGAAAGCGACCUUACGCUGCUCCUUAAUGAGAUAAGCGAACUUAUCAAUAUUAGGAACAGUAAGCAAUUUCGGCAUCAGAUGAUUGCGAAAAUAACCAGGAGCGACUUUGACAGUCUCACCAACUUUGCCAAGUUUCUCAAUGCUCUAAAAAAUGGAAGCAAAAGCAAACGUGAAUGAUAUUUUGCAAUCUGAAACAACAAAAAAUUGAGAAAAGAAAAAGAUUAUUGGAUCGAAAUGACUCACCGUCGUAAGAAUCACAUCCAACUUUCUGUAUCUAAUUCCUUGACAAGCAUAGAACAGAGGUUGCAUCAAACGAUCAUGGCUUUGCUGGACAUUCGUUUCUUUGAUAAUUUACCGAAGGGCAUGUCUUCCAUACUGGAUAUAAGCCAUUAAUUUCCUAACUUUGUGGGGGGCUCUAAAAUAUAAAAGGAAUUUAACGGUGAGGGAAGAGGUUCAUGCACGGAAGACCUUUUGCCUAAAAUUUCACGACAGAAUAAUCAACGGAAGAAGUGGGAAAUGGGAGGAGAAAAUGAUUAGGACGGAAGAGGAGAGGGUCGGGUAGGGAGGGAGGGUAAAACAGGGAGAUGGGGAGGGAGGCCGGAAGUAAUAGCUAAUACAGCGAAAAGGGAAGGGAUUGGAAAACACGGGAAUUUGGGGAUUAGGGGCGUAACCGAUUACGCGCGUAAUACCUAUUACAGCGAACCAAACGCCGGAAUAGGGGCGUAAUGUAAUACGCACGUAAUCGGGGCGUAAUGGAUUGGGUAAUACGGCGAACCAAACACAGUGUUAGUAUAAUAUCUCUAUAGCACUUUUAUUAAAUCAAGAUUUUUUUUAUUUCAAUAAUAAUAAUUUCAAACUAAUACAACCAACUUUCUUUAUAAAAAAUCUCAUUUAUUUGUCAACAUUUUGUAUCUUAUAAAGAAAUAGUUAUACACCUAAGCUAAUAUAGUUCAUCCUCUCUAUAAUUGUCUCAUUUAUCUAUUAUAAAUUUAUAUCAUUUUGCACUAAGAACAAUACUGAUGCUAACUAAAUUAAUACUUAAUUGGCUUAUUUUCUUUUAUUUUACGUUACAAAAUUCUAUGAUUAACAAAUUAUAUUUUUAAUACUAUAUUUUUAUAUCGUUAAUGUUACAUUAUUGAUAUUCUCAGUUUAAAACCCACAACAAUAGGUUAGUAGUAGCAUAGAGCCUAUUUCAUUCCACAGUCCUCACGUGCUCAAUUAUUUCACAUUUUUUCCCAUGGUUAAGGAAAAAGAAAGCAUAUUUCACUACUUAUCAAGUCCAUAAAUAAAUUAUUUUAUUUUCCAAUAAAAUAAAUUAAAAGAAUAAAAAUAAAGAUUCCACUUAAACUUAAAAUGUCACACAUUCAACCACUGUCAAGUGUAACAGGUUAAAGCUUAAGUUUUGUAAAUCACAUUGCCUUAAGCAGAAACUUAACUUCGAAUUCGUUUAAGUCAGUCUACUCUAAAAAGAUGAAAAUUUGCAACGGAAAUUCUCGAAAGAUGAGAAUAAGGCACCGAAAUAAAGUGAAAACAAACUCUCAAGCGAAGAACCAAAAAGCAAACAAAAAAGUCACAAAAAAAAAAAAGAAAAACCAAGCACACCAAGUGUUUUUAUUACUUUUAAGAAUUACAACUAAGUGAUUACAAAUGAGGGGAAUACCUCUAUUUAUAGUUGAACUCCCCCAAAUCUAACAGUACAGUUUAAAUUACAUUAACGGUUGAAAUCAAAUCCUAUCUACAAGAAGAGAAUCCUAAGGGAUUUAAACUCUAUAUAAUCUUAUCCCUUAGGAUUAUAAAUAUUAAUCAUGAUAACUCUAGUUUUACUGGAGUGCUCCACUAGGCCACCAAGGCUUCAAGUAGAUGGGUUUCUUUAUAUGCUCCACGAAUUGGGCCAAUUCAAGUGGGUUAAUAGGAUGUUUCGUGUGCAUUCGUCAUGAGCUUCGAUUUGCGGCCAGUGACAUUCUCCCUCACUCAUUCUUGUGAUGCCUUUUUAGCGUCCUUGAAAUGACACCGGUCCAACUCAUCUCGAAAUUACCACGACGCCCUAACCAUUCUCUUAGUUGGGUUGUUUCGUCCCUUGAAACAUUUGCCUCGACUUAUGUCUCUGUCAUCAUCUAACUCAAACUGUUUCUCUUUUUUUGUACAUCUCUGACUGUAAAAGGCCAUCACCCUCUUGCUUGCAUCCAUUGUGACUUGUCUCGAUUGGGAUCCGUUUGAUCCUCACAAAUAAUAUUCAAAACACCCAUAUUGAACAUCAAGUUAACCUUGAUUUUUGCCGCCAAAUCUAGUUUGUAAGCCCCUCGAUUUAACUACUUUCAAACUCUAAAAGGGCCCUUUUGUUUUUGCCAAGCUAAUGAUAAGUCAUAAUGAAAAAACACUAGGAAAUUAAGUGUUUGAGAUGUACCUCGAUCAUAGCAUUUUUCUUGUUUUGACUACCCAGUUUGCAUCACCACUUUACCCACAAAGUUUGAUGCACAACCCACCACUCUCUUAAGAGGUAGCCCUAUUGAUAACCAAACAGGCUUCACAUCGGUUUGUCACACCUCUAGCAUUUCCAAAGGGGUCUCAUUAGCACUCUAAUUUACCAAGUCAACAUUCUCACCACUCAUGUCUUGGCUAGCUAGAUUGCUAACAAUAUCUUGGUUUCACCCUUAAUGUCUCGACUCAGCGGCACAACGCAUUGUUGUUGUCAAGUAUCCAAGAAGCAUAUGCAAUCAACAAAAAGAACCAAAAGAGCAUUAAUCUUGUCAAAAAAAAUUCAAGCUAAGAACAAAGUCGUAAUCAUCUAAGUGAAUUACCUGAAAGUCUUUCUCGUCUUUCCACUAACCAAUCUAUAGCUCAACACUUUGUACUACUCCCACAGUCGGUACCUCCUUAGAAUUAACAGUAUUAAUUCUCUUAGUCAUUUUACUAGCCGAGAGACCAAGUUUAUUCACGACUCUUUUUUGACAUGAACAAAUUAGAUACCCUUGUAUCAACAAGAGCACUUCUCAUUUGACCUGCAAUGUUGAUGUCAACAAAUAUCAACCCUUUUUGCUUGUGAUUUCUCUUUGCUUUUGCAGAAUUAAGUAUCAUUGAUCCAAGUCUUAAUAUCAUUUCCUCAUCAAGCUCCACUUCAUUUUCUUUAAUGAUUAUUGACAGCUUAGAUCGCUCUGGACAAUCUCACAUCUUAUGUGGAACACAAUAUAAAAAGCACUUUAUUAGCUCCUUCGAUUUGUUGUUGGGCUUCAACUUCCCAUUAUGUGGUUUCCCAUUAUAACUAUUGUCGUUUUUACCCUAUCCUUCUUCACCUCCCCCACCAUUUCCCUUCUCGUUGGGAGAAGGAUUACCUAGUAAUGUGAUAGAUGACGAUAAACCGAACAUUGUAAAUAUCCAUCCAUUAGAUGCAUGGGCUACUUGGAAGAUGAUACUAGCCAAUCAAAUGUUCGAUGAAUGGUAAGCAUCUAGAAAUUAGUUAGGUUUAAGGUAAAAAUAGUAAAUUUCAUGUAUCUAGUUUAUGAAACUUUGGUGGUGUUUGAAUUGUUUUUUGUAUUGUACUAGACUUGUUGAAUUAUAAGUUAUUUUCUUUUGAUUCAUCAUGUGUUAUAAUUUUAUAAAGUGUCGACCUUUUGAUUCAUAAUAUUAAACUUAAUUUUAAUUUGUGUUUUUUCUUAAGAUAAUUAUGUCAGGUUUUUCACAAUCAAGUGUUUCUUCCCAAAAUUCUAGAGGAACCAAAAGGAAAUGGGUUCUAGAAGAAGAUGUUGCGUUGGUUGUUUGUAUGAUCAACUUGCACAAUGUUAGAAUCUUUAAUACAGAUACGGGAUCCAAAGUCGGUUAUUUAAAUGAGCUGGAAAAAAUGUUAGAUAAAGUUUUACCCCAUGCUAUGUUGAAGGCUAAACCUAAUCUUGAAUCGAGGAUUAGGACAUUGAAAAGGGAUUGGGCAAUCGUUUAUGGCAUGCGUAGUGGAAAAAAUAAUAGCAGCUUUGGUUGGGAUAAGCAUAAGCAGCUAGUUGUUGCUAAAGAUGCUGUGUGGAACUCGUAUAUAAAUAUAAGAAUUAUUUCAAGUCUUUAUUAUCUUAUUGACCAAACUUAUAUCUAAUAUAGAUUCCUCAUUUUUUAUAGUCAUAAAGAAGCCGAUCAAUUCAAACACCGUAGUUUCCCUUAUUAUGAACAACUUACUGCCAUCUACACAAAAGAUCAAGCCACUAGGAAAGAUGCUCAAACAGCCGCUGAUAUUAUUGAAGAAAUAGAUGUUGAGGAUGUAGCUACUACAAAUACUCAUGAAGAAAGAAACGAUUUUCAUGGAUGUGAAGCUGAUGUUUCUUUGGAUGACAUGGAUUUUUCAGUUACACAAAUGCAACCACCUAGAAACCAAGGUGAUUCCACAUUUUCAAAGAAGAAUAAAAAAUUCUGAUGCAAGUGAUCAUAUUUUUUCUACUUCAUUUACUGAUGCUGCCACUUUAUUGAAGGAAAACAUACGGGCCGUUGGCCUUGAAAUCAGUAGGUGUAUUGCCUUCGAAGUGCUAAUUCAACAAAAGUAAAAAAUGACCAUUCAAGAAAGUGCUCUAAAAUUAUAUCAAACCUUAUGUGAAGUAGAAGGUUUAAUUGAGGAUGAGCACUAUCGCGCAUUGAGCAAAAUUUCAGACCAUCCAACGCAAAUGCUCAUUUUCUUUAGUUUACCUUUUUUUGUGCGAUUGGAAUGUGUCAGAAGAUUUCUUGCUGACCAUUAAAAAUCAUGAUUGUUUUUAUGAUAUUUUGGUAACUUUUUGUGUUUGUAAUAUUUGGAUGGUAUAAUGACAUGAUAGAAUGUCAUUACAAUGUUGUAACUUUUUAUGUUGUAAAAUUUAACAUAUGGAUUAUGACAUAUAAGCUAAUGAAACCAUGUAACUUUUUGUUAAUAUAUGAAUAUUAUGCUUGGAUGUGAAAUAUAAUUCUCAAACUAUUUAUUACUUCUAAUAUUUUUAUUUAUUUAUUUUAGAAUAAUUAAAUUAUUUGUUUCACUAAUGAUAUUCUAGUACAUUAAAUAUGUAUUGCAGUUUAAAAGUAAUAAAGUAGGUUAUAUAUUAUUUUUAUAAUAUUAUAUAUUAUGAUUUUUUAAUUCAUAUAAUAAUUAUAUUAAGGAUGUUAUUAAAUUAUAUAUUAUUUUAUUAAAUUGUAUUUAAUAAUAAUUAUGUUAAAAUAUGAUUAAAUUAUUUAUUAUUUAUUAAAAUAUAUUUAACAAUAAUUUUAUUAAAAUUUAAUAACAAUAACAAUAAUCAUCUACCUAAAAAAAUUCUAUUAAGGGUACUUUGGUCAUUUAAGCUUUUUUCCUUAUACCAUUACAACAUCUAUUUCAUUCAACUAAACACAAGAAUGUUAUUACAGCCCUAUUUUAUUCCAUUUCAUUCAACAAAACAAUUAAAUUACUGAUUACAGCUCUAUUUCAUUACAACUCUAUUCAAUUACAGCUCUAUUCCAUUAGAUUGAACCAAACUUACCCUUAAUGAUUAGUUCUACUUUCCUCGUCAAUGGAGUUUUCGGUGCUUGAAGAUGACACAGAAAUUUUUUUUCUCUUUCCUACUACUUUGUUCUUUUAGUUUAUGUUUUACCAUUAAAGGUUUUAAUUAUAAUUUUAAAAAAUUUCAUACUAUAAUUUAUUUUUUUCUUUAAUCAACCAUCCAUUACAAUUCCAUAUGUUCUAAAUGUAAUUUACAACCUUGAUUAAUUAUUAUUUUAGUCCUUUAGUAAUUAAAAUUUAUAGCAAUUAACUUUUAUCACUUUUACAAUUUAGUCCUUAUACCUUAAUGAGUCACCAAUUCGAUGAAAUUAUCUAUCCAAAAUUUAAUUCACCUAUCUAAUAACUCCGCAAAUAUUUAAUAAAAAUAUUUACGGGCUCAAUUUAUGAAAAUAAGAUCUCGAUACCUUAUUUUGCAACACCACUGACUUUAGGGUUGAUACACUUAUACCUUACUAACUAUCCAAUUAACAAAUUCGUCAUAUCAAAAUUCAAUAUAAUAUUAUAAUUGACUCAUUUAUAUUAAUUAAUAACAUUUAUGGGCUCAAUCAUUGAAAAAUAAAAUUCUGACACUACCGUUUCAAACACCACUAGCUUUUGAAUUGUUACAUGGAUGAUUUGGUCAGUUAAGAACUACUUGCUCAAGGGGAAUGGAUUGGGAGCAUUAACACAUGCUUGUCUAAAGACUCAAUAUCCAAGUGCUUGACCACAACCAUUUUUUUAAAGACUCGACAAUCAUCGGACAAUAAUUACGGGAUGAUAGAUAGUGGUACAAGCGGUGAGAUUGCCGCACCAACAUGAACCAUAAAAAAAUAUGUCAUUUUCGUAGAUUUUAUACUUAGAUCAUUUUCAUAAAUAAUCAAUUUAUUUAGGUUAAUUUUAGAAAAAAGCCAAAUUCAAAAUUUAAGGGAUAAGAGUGAAAUAAAGUUAAGAGACCUAAAAGAAAAAAUGCAAUUCCUUUUAGAUAGAGGAAAAGAAUUGUAUCCCUUGCUUACACGUUAAUAGUCCUUUUGUAAAGGAUUUUGGAAAAUGAAGUUAUACCUUGCAGUUUCGUCCAACAUGGGAAUUCAUCAAUUCAAUUUCGGGACUUGACCCAUCACAAGAAUUUUUGUUUCCACACUAAUUUGUUGGCAUCUUUUGGCUUAAAUUAGCUUAUUUAAUUUUAAUUCUAUUUAAAAUAUUUUUAGUAUAUUGAUAAGUGAUAAUUUUUUUACUUUUCAUAAUUAAGUGAUAACAUUUCAAAUUUAUUAAUAAUUGAGUGAGUAAUAAUAUAAUUAUAUGAUGAAUUAUAUUUUUUUAGUUUCGCAUUUCUAAUUGAUUUACAUUUUAUGUUUGCGUAAAAUAAUAAUUUGAAUGAUUCUUUUCAAAUUAAUUUAUAAAGAUAAUAAUGGUUUUAAUUAGUUUUGGUUACUUAAUUAUUUAAAAUUAGUUUUAUGAGUGAUAAAGUGACGUCAUGAUAAGUUGAUAAACGACAUCAUGACGUGACAACGUAUUCCCUAUUAAUUCAGGUUUCUUAUCCUAGUUAAAUUAUGUUAUAUUUUCCCAAUCAAACUCUAAUAACUCUAAGGAUAUUUUAAUCAGAUUAGCCCACAAAUUUUGGUCUAUAAAUGGAGUUUUUAGCAACCUUAGAGAAAUUGAUUUAAUAACAUAAUUAAGAGAGUUUUGUGGGAAUUUCGGGAGAAUUUUGUAUUUUGAGUUCGGGUUUGUUUUUUUGUUUCUCCAUCUUGUACUCCUCUUCGGUUAUUUGUCAUUUUUAGUGAAUGACUUUUUUCCUGUGAUUUUUUAUCCUAUUUAGAGAAGUUUUUCCCCUUAAAAUAUUUAUGUCUAAUUUUCUUUAUUCGUUCUUGUUCAUUGUUUAAUUCGGGUUUAUCCUAACAUUUAUUAAAUAAAAUCUGAAAUACAGUUUGGAAUAUAGUUCCAAAUCAUAGAAUGAUCAUAAGCAAUAGACGUUUUGGCAAGCAUAUGUGCUGCCUCUUUACUAGACCGACUAACCCAUUGAACUUUUAUGUCAUUCCUAUUCCGAAGAAUCUCCUUGCAAUCAGCUACAGUAGUGCCAUAUUCGGACCAAUCAGAGGAGUAGAUAGCAUAACAUAAAGCCUGUGCAUCUGUAAAUAGAACCCCCUUCAUUCGACAAGUUAGUAGAAGACCAUUGCUGAGCAAAGCUCAACGCCAAAGCCUCAGCCACUCGGUGUGAAAAGCCCCUCCAUAAGCGUCGUGCCAGCAUUCAAAAAAGCACCAGUGUUGCUGAAAGCCAUUAGUCCAACACCACACUUUCCUUCAUUCUCGAAAAUAGCCACGUCCACUCAGCUGCUCGAGUCAAGUCGGGCACUAGGUUGUCCCUCGGUCGCAUUGGCAUAUGCAUUGGUCGUCAUUCGCAUACCACCCAAAGAGGCUCUCACUUCUUGCCAUUCAUUUAAUGAGCCAUAAGCAUGAGACAAGAUCAAAGAAGGAGGUAUGUCCUUAUUGCUCCAUAUUAGUUGGUUCCUCGCCCACCAUAUACACCAACAUAUAAUGCAAAACUCCUCUAACAAAAUGUUCGACCCUUGAGUGACAAGAGCUUUAAAACAAUCAACAAAGUUCAUAUUGGAGAAUUCUCCCAGCUUACCCCAUAACUUUAGAACAAUGGAGCAAAGCAUGAGAUAAAUCCUCUUAAAAACCACAUCAAUGCUGACCCUCUUGUCUCUCAACCGAAUCUUAGACGGAGCUAUAUUCUUCAAAGCGCCCCAGUUAAACUCCUUGGCUUUUGGUAGGAUAUGAAGCUUCCAAAGAGAUUUCCAGUUCACCAUAUUCGAGCCAACCUCAUUCUCCUUCUUCAAGAAGUUUCCUACAUGAUACCCCCAUCAAAUCCGAGUACACUGAUGAUGUAGAUGAAUUUUAUUUUUAUAACAAAUAUUUCGAUUGAAAUGGUAAAAUUAAAAUAGUGAUGAUUAUUGGGUUUUGGGUUCAAACAUUGUUAACAAAAAACCCAUCACAACAUAUUUGUUAUUUUAUCAAAUGAUUGGGUAUUUGGUAAUUUCUUAAGACUUAAUUGAUGAAUGACACCAACUCGAUAAAUCAUUAUAUUAUUAACCUAUUAUAAGUAGCUAUGUUUGUAAGUAUUGCAUGCAUCCCAACAAAAAUUAGAAUAUAUCUUAUAAAUUCACUUUUUUACAUUGUUAGUGAAUUUUACAUAUUUGAUUCUUGACCUUAGCUCACUAAAAUUUUUAACCAAAAUUGAUACAAACAGGUGAAGAUAAUGGAUUUAGCUUUAAUUAAGUUACAAAAAAAAUUAAAAAUUUUAAUAAAUAAACAAACAUGUUUCCUUCUUUUAUAAUUUUUAAAUAUUUUAGUUCUUUUUAAAUUUAAUGGUUUUUAUUUUAUUUUAUUUACAUUCAAAUCGUGUUUUAUAUUUAAUCAAUUAAUUCUUUUAAUUUUUAGGCAGGUAAUUUUUUUCUUUUUCAAUUUCAAUUUUUUUAAAUUUUAAUCAAAUUUCAGAAUUUGAUAAUACAUGGUGGUUAUAAUUUUUCAAAAUUUAAUUUUUUUUACUAUUUUAUUUUCUAAAUUUUUAAUGGUUGAUUUUAGUUUUUUUUUUCAAUUUGUGUUUAUGAUUUUUAUCAGUUUUUUUUUAUUUUUAAUUAUUAAUUUAAGCAUUUUAAAACUUUAUUUAUUUAUUGUUAUAUUUUUUCCGUUAUAUAGUUUCAAUGUUUUCCCCUAAAAUUUUAAUUAUUUUAAUUAAAUUUAAAUUAAAUUAGAGAUAUAUUAUAUAUGAUUGAGUAUAGAAUAAUAUUUGUAUGUCUUCAAAAAUUGAUAAUAUGACAUUAAUUUAUUUGUGCCUAAAAACUAUAUAUUUUUAAAAUUAUGCUAAUGUAAGCUAUCCCCUAACUUAUUUGAGUUCUUUUAAAAAAAUUUUAAUAUUAAAUAUGAUAUAAAUGCUUUUCUUUUGUUGCACUACAUAUUUUAUCUUCAUCAUUUUAUUUAUUUUAUAUUAAAAUAUUUAUAUUCUUUUAAAAAAUCGGUACCAUUAUAAUUAAUUGUCAUGUAAUAAAAUAUCCGUAUGUAUUUUAUUUACUUUCAAAUCCUAUUAUAUAAUUAAAAUAUUAAAAAUAUCUUUGAUGCAAUGUCGGUGCAUAUAUUUUAUACAGCAACAGUGAAUAAUAAUAUAACACGUCAUCAUUAAAUAAAAUAAAAAUAAUAGACUUAUAAAUAAAUUCUAAUAACUUCAUUUAAAUAUAAUUAAAUAAUAAAUAAUUAUAAAUAAAUGUUAAAAUUUUAUACUCUAAACUUCUAAACUUAAUAUUCUAAAUCCAAAAUUCAUUAAUAUCUAUUUAUAAUAGUUAAGGUUAAUAUUUAAUUAUGUUUAAGUGCAUCAAAUAUUAUUCUUUAAAAAAUAAAGUAUCCAUUAUAAUAAUUAAGUGAAAAACAUUUAUUCAAGUAAAUAAUUGAAGAAAAAUAAUGAAAUAUGCAUAAUUGGAGCUAAAAAAUUGGUUAGUGGAGUUGGGUGAGGAGGUGGGGAUAAGGAAACGAGAAGAUUCGAGAAUGAAUUAGCAAGUUGCGUAGGCCAAUCUUAGAAACACCACCGUGUGGCUAACGUAACUGCACGCCGACUCAUCUGACCGCAAUUUUCUCGUUUCCUCCAGACCUUCCAACCUAAGAAAAUCCACACCCUCUCUUCUAUAUAAGCAUCGCCUCACCCCUUCUCUCUCCGUCCAACGCAAACCGAUUCAAGCUCUUCUCAAAUCUUUUUUCAAUCAACUCUCUCCAAAGAUGCAGAUCUUCGUCAAAACCCUUACCGGCAAGACCAUCACCCUCGAGGUUGAGAGUUCUGACACCAUCGACAAUGUGAAGUCUAAAAUUCAAGACAAGGAAGGCAUCCCACCAGACCAGCAGCGUCUCAUCUUCGCCGGAAAACAGCUCGAGGACGGCCGUACCUUGGCCGAUUACAACAUCCAGAAGGAAUCUACCCUCCACCUUGUCCUCCGUCUUCGUGGGGGUAUGCAGAUCUUCGUCAAAACCUUAACCGGCAAGACCAUCACCCUCGAAGUCGAGAGCUCCGACACCAUCGAUAAUGUGAAGUCUAAAAUUCAAGACAAGGAAGGCAUCCCACCAGACCAGCAGCGUCUUAUCUUCGCCGGAAAACAGCUCGAGGACGGCCGUACCUUGGCCGAUUACAACAUCCAGAAGGAAUCUACCCUCCACCUUGUCCUCCGUCUUCGUGGGGGUAUGCAGAUCUUCGUCAAAACCUUAACCGGCAAGACCAUCACCCUCGAAGUCGAGAGCUCCGACACCAUCGAUAAUGUGAAGUCUAAAAUUCAAGACAAGGAAGGCAUCCCACCAGACCAGCAGCGUCUUAUCUUCGCCGGAAAACAGCUCGAGGACGGCCGUACCUUGGCCGAUUACAACAUCCAGAAGGAAUCUACCCUCCACCUUGUCCUCCGUCUUCGUGGGGGUAUGCAGAUCUUCGUCAAAACCUUAACCGGCAAGACCAUCACCCUCGAAGUCGAGAGCUCCGACACCAUCGAUAAUGUGAAGUCUAAAAUUCAAGACAAGGAAGGCAUCCCACCAGACCAGCAGCGUCUUAUCUUCGCCGGAAAACAGCUCGAGGACGGCCGUACCUUGGCCGAUUACAACAUCCAGAAGGAAUCCACCCUCCACCUUGUCUUACGUCUUCGUGGGGGUAUGCAGAUCUUCGUCAAAACUUUAACCGGCAAGACCAUCACCCUCGAAGUCGAGAGCUCUGACACCAUCGAUAAUGUAAAGUCUAAAAUUCAAGACAAGGAAGGCAUCCCACCAGACCAGCAGCGUCUCAUCUUCGCCGGCAAACAGCUCGAAGAUGGCCGUACCCUGGCCGAUUAUAAUAUCGAGAAGGAAGCCACCCUCCACCUCGUCCUCCGUCUUCGCGGGGGAAUGCAGAUCUUCGUGAAAACCUUGACCGGCAAGACCAUCACCUUGGAGGUGGAGAGUUCGGACACCAUCGACAAUGUAAAGGCGAAGAUUCAGGACAAGGAAGGGAUCCCGCCAGACCAACAACGUUUGAUCUUUGCAGGGAAGCAGCUUGAGGAUGGGAGGACCUUGGCUGAUUAUAACAUCCAGAAGGAAUCGACCCUUCACCUUGUUUUGAGGCUUCGUGGAGGCAUGCAGAUUUUCGUUAAGACAUUGACUGGGAAAACAAUCACAUUGGAGGUGGAAAGUUCGGAUACAAUUGACAAUGUGAAGGCAAAGAUUCAGGACAAGGAAGGUAUCCCCCCAGAUCAGCAAAGGCUCAUCUUUGCUGGCAAGCAAUUGGAGGAUGGGAGGACUUUAGCUGAUUAUAACAUUCAGAAAGAGUCCACCCUUCACCUUGUUCUUCGUCUCCGUGGUGGGCAGUGAGAAGUUAAUUCUUCUUCUGUCUUUGUUCUAGCUUAAGAUGGUCACAAAUAAGCCUUUAGGAAAGUGCCUAUUUUCUUAUCUCUUAAUGUAACAUGUUAAUCUAAGUAAACCUUCUGUUUGGAAUAAAAGUUUGGUGAUUUCGUAUCUGCUAAUUUGUUGCUGAAUCAAAUCUUUUCAAUGCAAUGAUCACUGUUGAAAUGGGUAAUUUGUGAUGCUUAAUGUGUUGUAAAUCAGAAAAAAAAUCAGUGUUGACACGGCAAAGAACAACAUGAUUGGGCUGCCAGCAUUAGAUGAAAUGUUACUUGAUAGUUUUUUAUGUCUUGCAAAGCAUAAAAAAGGAUCACAGCAAUGAAGAUUUAGAAACAAAAGUAAAACUUAUCAUCUCAUAUUUAAGUAGCUCUUAAGCAUAUUUGCUACUUGUUUUAUCAACUUUGAUCUUGAAAACAAGCCCUAGACUUGUUCAAAAACAUGAUUCGAACACUGAAAAAAGGAUGUGUCAUGAAAUUUUCAUAUAUCUGUACAUAAGCUCUGCAACAAAGACAGAGGCAGGUUCUCUGAAAAAUCUAAACACAAUUUUUAUAAUGUUGUACAGAUGGAGUUGGAGAAAUGAGAAGUUCUAUCACGUUGCCAAUGCACAGCUGAUUAAGUUUUAUGGAAAGACUAAAGUACUUUCAUGGUGUCUAUUUUAGGCUAAUAUUUCUACCCAUAUCAACUUUGUUUCAUUGGAAAUGCCUACUCCUACUCUAGACACACAAAGAACAUACAUGUUUUUCUUUUCUGAGACUACCCAUUAACCUUUCUCUCAUUGAAGGAUAGAUUUCUCACCUACAACAGUCUCAAUUUCAAAUCGUAAGUCCUAUCCAACAUACUGAUUUAAAAUCCAAUUUCUUGACUUUAUGGGCAUCAUGAAAACUACUGAUAAAAAGCAAAAAGAAAAAGCUACUAACUUUUGGAGUAGUUUGGAAAGUCAAUGAGUCCAUGAAAAGCCAUAGGCCUAAAAGCUCACUAUCAUUUUGGGCUAACUUCCAAGGUACAGUAGAAAUUGCUUACUCUAAACGGCCAUAAAUUCCGAUAUCUUGAGAAAAGAUAAAGAAAUAGGGGCAUUCUGAGACUUGAACUCGGGACCUCUCGCACCCUAAGCGAGAAUCAUACCACUAGACCAAAUGCCCUAAUUGGCUAUUUAUUCAUGAUAAAAUUUUAUUCAAAUAUUAAACUUUAGAGAAAAAGAAUAAAUCUUAAUGAAGGGAAAGGUUCCAAUCAUGUGUUUUGUUUGGAUAAAUCUCAAAAUCAAACAUGACAUUUUGAUUGUAGUUUAAAUAUAUACAUGAAACUUUAAUUUUGAUUCAAUUAAAACACAUUUAAAGAAAUAAACACAUAAAUUUAUUUUUUUAUUGGAUAAAUAUAAUUAUUUGUGUAUGCAAUAUAUAAACAUAAAAUGAUGAUAUUAUAUUAAUAAUUAUGUUAAUAAUUUAUAAAAAUUGGAUCAAAUCAAAAUUUCAUAUAUAAAAUCGAAAUUCAUCUAUAAAAUUACAUAUUAAAUCAAUAUUAAAAUAAUUUACGUUAAUUAUUUGUGUGUGUACAGAAGAUAUAAUCUUCAAGCUAACAUAAAGCGGAUAUUGCAAUGUUUAAAGAGACGUUUGUGAGUCGUGAGUUAUGAGUUGCUGGAUUAUUUCGGUUCACUGUCCAUGAUUUGUCCUGACUGGAGCUUCAAUUAGAAAGCAGAUUAUAUUUGACAAUGGGCGAUUACGAGAGUUGAUACCACCUGCUUGUCCCGGGUUGGUUCAGAGUCCCCCUUGGUGGUCCACUAUUAUGACAUAGAGAAUCAACGUGACUGCAACAAAUAGUAUCCACAUCAUGUAUAUGGGUCUCUUGUGAAAAGAUGUGGAGUUGGAUGAAUCCAUGGCCAUCACCACAUCUUCCACUGCCCAAAGGUUCCACCACUUCUAUAUUCCAAUGCUUUUCCUUAUUCUUUCAACACCAUACAACCCCCACGCUGAUGCUGAUAAAUAACCCUCUCUCCCUCUAUGUAUCCCCCCCCCCCUCCCCCUUUUUUCUCAAUGGCUAAUAACCUCUGUUUAUGUCUCGUAGGAGCCAUGGAUCGUCUCUGGUUUCAACAGAUUAUUCUUUUCCCAGACCCCUUUUCACCAUAUUUCCCCCUCGAACCAAAGCAGCCCCUCUCAGAAUCUACCACUACAAGCUCAUCAUCUUCAAGCCUCUCUUUAUCAUCUGUUGCAGACCAAGAAAAACCAGCGCUGGUAAACAGUAAUAAUAAUAAUAAUAAUAAAAGAAUGAAAAAGAACUACGCUCAUCAAGUUCAACACUCUUGAAAUAUGUUUCUUAUUUUUUGUUUCAUUUUUGCUGUUGUUUUUCAUGGUGAUCAAAUUCUUAGGAUGAUCCUAAAAAAGAGGAAAAACAAUUGAAGAAAAGAUCAAGAAGAGGGAAUCUUAGUCGUUCACAUUCUCCAUCUCAAUCGACUCAUAAACAUCAGAGGAUUAACCAUCAAUGCAAACUGCAAAAAUCCACGAGUUGUAGGAGCUUGAAAGACUUGGAACUGGAAGAAGUAAAAGGGUUCAUGGAUCUUGGAUUUGUAUUCACAAAAGAGCACUUGAACGCCAGGAUGAUUAGUGUUAUCCCCGGCUUGCUCAGACUUGGAUUUUCCAGAACUAAAAGGAUCCAUAAUGAAGUCAAUGUUGAUGCUGACCAACUAUCUAAAGACGAUGAUAUUGAACAAGAAGAGAAGAGAGGUGUUAUAAGACCAUAUUUAUCAGAAGCUUGGCUGAUUAAAAGACCCGAUUCUCCUUUGCUGAAUCUAAGAGUACCAAGGGUCUCUGCUGCUGCUGAUAUGAAGAAACAUCUCAAGUUUUGGGCUAGAACUGUUGCAUAUGUAGUUCAACAAGAUUCAUAAAAUAAGAGAGCAGAUCCCAACUUCGAACCUAAAUCUACCAAACAACUAGGUCUAUAGCUAGCUGCAACUGUAAAAAGAGGAGUUUGUAAUAAAAAAAAGUCAUAAAAGAUAGUGUACUCUAAAUAAAAGAUGAGCCAAAAGCUCUUUUUGUCACCAUUUUUAACUACCAGUAGUGGCUAGGAUAAAUGGAAAAAACUUUAAAAAGGAUCUUUUUCUUUUGUUAUAUUAAGUCAUCCAAAUUGCUGAAAAGAUAAGGCAAACCAAAAAAGGAAGAUGAUCACGAUGGUCCUACCAUGUUCCGGGUUGAGAAAGAAUCAAAAACAGUAAAAAUAGGAAACAUGGCUUUUAACAUCCGCCAAGAGCUAGCUCCAUUUCUACUGUUCUAUCCCAAGUUUUGUCUGCAUUUGAUGUUGAGAGAAUCCUUCAUGCCCAUGCAUAUAUGGCCAUGGUAUUCCUGUGAGGUUUAACAUAUCAAAUCAUGGGGGAAUGGUUUUUUCUUUCAUCAUUAUUAUUUGUCCUGCAUUCUUAAAUCUUACUUUGCCAUGUUCUUCAUUAUCAUUUUAUACUUUUUGCUCCACCAGCUUUAAACAUGUAGCCCCAUCCCAUCCCAUGCUACCUAAGAAAACAAUUUGAGCGCUCUAUUGACUGCAAAUCAUGGUAUGGGGAUGUUUUUGUUUUUGGUCAGUUUGGUCGACUACUUGCAUUUAUGGACUUGGGACUUCUUGUUUGUGUCUCAUAAACAUAUUACCUUUUUUUCCUAUGAUAUCAUAUUAUUAUCAUCAUCAAUUUGAUUCAAGUUUUUGGUAUAAUAUUGGUUUCAUGUUCAAAAUCACAUGAUUUUGUCUGUCGUUUGCAUUUUUGCAAAAAAAAUUAUUGGGUAUGGACAGAUAUUGGGUCACGGUGCAUUUUAUAGAUAUUAAAUUUAUGUUAGAAAAUUAAUUAUUUGAUAAAUUAAUAAAAUUAGAUGAUUAAUAUAAUUAUAUUGUUUGUUAAAAAUAAAUAUCCAUCUUUUUUAAGGUUUGCUUUAGGGUUUUCUUUUCUUUGAAUUUUUUUAUAUAUUUUACAAACUAAAUCAUCUUGGUAGCUUAAGAAAUUUCAUUUUAGGAGGUCAGCACUUUCAUGUCUCAUCCCUCUAGUUUUGGGUUCUUUCUUUUUUUUCUCUUGUAAUUUAUUAAAAUUAUUUUUAAUAAAUGAGUAUUAUUGCUCUUUUGUUAUUGUUGCGUAUGUAUAAAUCUCAUGCAUCUUCAAUGAAUCACAUUAAAUUACCUCAUUAAUGAAUAAAAUAAUACAAUAUUUGACAGAUUAUAAAUAAAUGCUGAUAAGAUUAAUUAAUUAUAAUUUUUAUUUCCUCAAGUCUUCCCUGUAUCUCUAAACAUGGUUUUGAGAUUUGGGAUUUUUUUGGGUUGAAUUUAGAAUCAUUUCAUUGAUUUUCAAUGAAAUAAUUCUAAAUUGAGAAAAAAAAUCUCAAAAAUUAUAACUCAAUUUGGAAAAAUUUUGCCAUACAGUGGAAAGAAAUAGAGAAAGUAAAAAUUAUAAUUAAAUCAAUAAUUAUUUAUAAGUCCUCAAAUAUUUUAUUAUUUUGUUCAUUGUGAGGUGGUUCAAUAAUGGUGCAUAAGAUUUAUACAAAUAUUUUUAUUUUUAAAAUUUUUAAUAAUUAUAUUAAAUUUAUUUUCUAAAUUAGAUGAUUUAGGGUUUGUUAUGUAGCCUGUGAAAUGAUAUGAAAGCAAUUUAGAUUUUUUAUUGCAAACUUUACUGCGUGUUCUUAAUCAACAACAUAUAUAUGGUCUCAAUCAAAAUGCGGUGAUAAGUAGCUAACUGUAUAGUGUAUGCCUAUUUUAUUCUAACAUUUUUUAAAAAUAUAUAUAUUAAAUAAAAAAUUAAAAGAUUAUGAAACACAUUUAAAAUAUUGUAAGCAGCAAUUUCUUAAAAAAUUAAAAUUUUCAGUAAUUUUAUUAAAAAAAUUUCAAUAAUUUAUCAAAGGCACCCCAAAUUAUAUAUUUUUAGGUUAUAUUAUUAUUAAAAGUCCAUAAUGGCGAACAAUAACGUCAUCCAACACCAACCAAUGAAUAACAUUAAUGUAGUCUAAACCAAAAUCAAAAGAGCAAACACUAUCUAAAAAUCAAUGGGCUGGGUUGUGAGCAACUUCAUUGCCAUAACAAAAAACAACAAACAUCAAAACUAACACAAAAUCCACAAGCCUCCUCAGAGAUUUGACCAUAUAAAGAUGAGUCCAAAAUUCGACUAUUAAACCUAAAAAUAAAAGCCUCUCAAUAGUAAGUUGAUGAAAACCAAAAUCUCUCAUAAAAAUUAGAAGUAGCAAAACUUGAUUUCUCCUACCUUUUCUGGUUACUCCUUUUUAUUUUCAUCAAUUAUUUUAAUUUGUUUUUCAAAUAAUCUCUUAAACUAUUUUAUAAAAUUUAUAUUUAUUUGAGAUUAAAACUGUUAAGGUAGGUCUGCUAUAUGACACGCUUAUGUCUGUUUGUGUAACACGACUUUUUUAGGACUCUUAGUCGUGAAUACAUUUUUUAGGGUUUUCUUUCAAUUUUUGUUGAUUUCUGAACUGGUUCUGCUAUUUUGGGUCGCUUUGUUUGCUUGGGUAUUUUUCAAAUGGAGAAUGAAAUGGCUGGAUUACGUAUUAGGGAAGAGGAAGAUGAAGUGUUGCAGGUUGAGGGGGUUUUAGAGGAUCAAAAGUCAAUGUAUGAUCUAUGUCUGGUUGGUUGUUUUGUUACUGCAAGUGUUGUGCAUUUCCCUGUUAUGUGCAACACCCUAGAGAAUUUAUGACACCUAUUAGGAGGCAUUAAGAUCUCAGAUCUAGGUGCAAAACGGUUCCUAUUUAGAUUUUUUCACCGAGUUGACAUUGAAAGAGUUAUUAAGGGAGCACAUUGGACUUUUAACAAUCAUUUCUUAGUAUUUCAUCGGUUACGGGAGAAUGAGGAUCCUUUGAAUGUGCCAUUGAUUUAUACAUACUUUUGGGUUCAAAUUCAUGGAUUGCCACCAAGGUUUUUCUCUGAAACUGUUACGAAACAAUUGGGGAAUUUUAUUGAUUUUUUUUAAGAGUAGACUCCAAACAGGUUAGUGGGGGUUUCAUUCAAUUUAUGCGAAUUAGGGUGAGAGUGGAUAUAAGAUCUCCAUUGAAACGCAGAAAGAAAAUCAAAGUAUCAUCUUAGAAUAACAUAUAUGUUCGGUUUCAGUAUUAGAAGCUUACACUAUUUUACUUUCUGUAUGGUUGCCUAGGUCAUAGUGAUAGCUUUUGCCUAAUCAAGCUACGAAUGGAAGUGGAUGAAUCGGAAACAGGAUGGGAUAUCUCGUUAUGUGCGUUGGGGAGAAGAGUUGUCCUAAUGGAAAGUAUUUGGUUGCAUAAGGGGAACGAGGGGGUUUCUGGAGAGAAUUUUCUAACAAUUGGCCGGGGGGAAAGGAAUGUCAAAGACUUCUUGCUAGCAAGACCGAUGAGGCGGGUUAAUCCAGUGUUGGGAAUAAAUCUGAAAAGGGCUGGUACGGGGGGAAAAGGGGAUUAAUUAGGUUUUGUACUGGUAUGAAGUAGGAUCAAAUGAUUCACGAUUUGUAGGAUGGCUCGAUUGAGGAUUUUGAGGGGAAGAAAAGGCAAAGAAUUGGGGGUUUCUGAAGUUUUAGAUUUUGCAGAGAAAGGUAAUGAGCAAUUAUUGGCUUAUUAGAAUGAGUUAUCAGUGACCACCAAGGGGUAGGUCAGUCGAUAGUAAUGAAGAUCAAGUGUUGAAAUAUUAGUAGGUUGGAGGGCUCACAGACUAUGAGAAGACUUAGUAUAUUCUUAGAAUCUACAAUCCCCAAAUUGUCUUCUUUAUGGAGAUUAAAUUAGAUUCAAAUAGAAUGCAAAAUGGUACACAAGAAUGGUGGAUUUGUUCAUAGUAUUGAGGUGGCGGUAGAAGGUACUAGGGUAGGGCUUAGUUUGGGUUGGAAAUUUGAGGUUGAUAUAGAAUUGAGAAGUUUUCCGAAAAAUCAUAUUGAUGUGAAAAUUCGGAGGGGAUGUUGAUGGGGAUAAAUGGAGGAUGAUAUGUGGUUCCAUUUAGGGAUGUGGGAUCUUCUACGGAGUUUAGGUCGGGAUAAUACUUUGUAUUGGUUAGUGUGUGAAGAUUUUAAUGAGAUAUUUUAUUCUUUUUUAAAAAAAGGGGAACUCUUCGAGAUGAGGGUGGUGUAGAAGAUUUUUGAAAUAUGUUACAUGAUUUCUAAUUAGAGGAUUUGGGGUACGAAUGACCUUGGUUUACUUGGGAAUGUGGGAAUUUUGUAUAGAAUAAUAUUAGAGAACGGUUGGAUAGGGGGCUGCGAAUGCAUCUUGGUAGGAGCGAUUCUCUACUUUUUUUCGAAAAAUUUACCUCACUCGUUCUUCAAUUAUUGCCCGUUAUUGAUAAAUACAAUGCAGAGAAUCUAAAGGCAACAGGUGGAGAGGUUUCACUUUGAGAGCUGUUAGUUGUUGGAGGACUCGUUCGAAGUGAUGAUUAAUCGCUUAUGGAAAAAUGAUAUAAAGAGUGUUCCCCAGCAGUUAGCAUCCCUGUGUAGAUGUCUAAAUAAGUGGGCAGUUCAAUUGAAAUUAAGAAAGGAUGCGAAUGAGGGGGUUGUGAAAUCGACUGGUGGAUCCUAAUGAGGGUGAUAGAGAUUAGGAGAAUCUCUUUGAUCUUUUAGGCACUAAAUUGGAAACAAACCUAGAAAUAGACAGAAAAGAACUAUAUUGAAAGUAGAAAGCACGAGUGAAUUGGUUGAAGCUAGAGGACAAGAAUACAAGGUUUUUUUCACAGAUUUACGUGGCAAAAAAGGAUGACAAAUAGAAUUAGGGGCUUAAUAGGGGUUGAUGCACAAACUAUUUCGGAUAGAGAUAAUUUGUUUUCCAUUACAAAUGACUAUUUCAUGUAAUUGUUUUCAUCGUAAUGAAGGGGGAAUUCGAAUCAUAUUUUAGAAGGGGUGGAAACAUGCAUUAUUGGUGAGAAAAAAUGUUUGCUUAGAUGCUAGAUAUGAGAGAAAUGAAGUAUUUGUUUCUUUGCGAACUAUGGCGCCAACAAAAGUGUCGGGACCGGAUGGCUUACCAGAUCUGUUUUAUUAUAAUUAUCGACACAUUAUGGGAUAAGAUGUUGGGGAUUAUUACCUUAAGGUUCUAAACAAAGGUAAAUUACUUGUUGACAUUAAUAAAGCAAAUAUAGUCCUUAUUCCCAAAACUGUUAAUCCAUCAGUAUGCAAUAGUUCUGUCCUAUUAGUUUAUGUUUCCUCUCGUAUAAGAUUAUUUCAAAAAUAGUGGUGGAUAGAUUCCAAAAAGUAUUGAAUGUGUGUAUAGAUGAAGCGUAGAGCGCCUUUGUUCCGGGAAGGCUAAUUACAGAUAAUAUUCUUCUUGCUUAUGAAAUUCUCAACGUAUAUAAAUGGAAAAGGUUGGGUAAAAGAGGUCAUUUCGCUCUUAAAUUGGAUAUGAGUAAAACUUAUGAUAGAGUGGAGUGGAAUUUUUAGAGAGUAUGAUGUUGAAAAUAGGUUUAUCAAGGAGAUGGGUGGAUUUUAUUGUACAUUGUAUUAGUACGGUGUCUUACUCUGUGAUUCUGAACAGGGAGUUAGAAAAUGAAUUUUCUCUUGGAAUAGGGCUUAGGCAGGGGGAUCCCCUUAGCCCUUACUUGUUUCUAAUUUGCAGUAAGGGAUUGUCUUCCCUUAUACGAAUGACAAUUUGGAAGAAUUUGGUUAGGGGAGCAAAAAUUAGUAGAAAGGAUCCAAAAAUUUCACAUUUACUGUUUGCGAAUGAUUGUUUCCUUUUUGGAAAGGCAACAGAAAAUAGAGCUAUAAUUUUGAAAUAGAUAUUGGUUGAAUAUGAGAAUACGUCGGACAAAUGUGUUAAUUUUGAUAAAUUUUUUGUUUAUUUUAGUGUAAAUGUUGAAGAGUAGAAUAGUGGAGAUAUUGUUGGAUGUCUUGGUGUUCAUUCCUAUACUAACUCAAAGCGGUAUUUGGGUUUACAAAACAUGGUGUCGGAAUAAAAGAUGGGCUUUCCAGGUUUUGAAGGAUCUAUUAAGAAGCCGUAUUAUGAGUUAGUGUGUUAGACCUUUGUCAUAGGGGGUAAGGAGAUUUUUAUUAAAAGUGUUUUGCAAGUCAUUCCUACAUUUUCAAUGUCAUGUUUUUUUGUUACCAAACUCAUUUUGCUUGGAGCUAAAACGAAUUAUAAGCAGAUUUUGGUGGCAAAAGCAUGAGGGAAGAAAGGGCAUUCAUUGGUAUGAGUGGUCGAAGUUGUGUAAGCUAAGAGAAGAUGGGUGGCUUGGGUUUCAGAAAUUUGGCGAAAUUUAAUAUUGUGAUACUUGCAAAACAAGGGUGGUGUUUGAUUAAAUAUCUGAAUUCACUUUUAGCGCGAUUGCUUAAAGGAAAGUAUUAUUCAACUACUGAUUUUAUGAGUGCAGAUCUAGGCACUUAGCCAUUAUAUACCUGGAAGAGCAUUUGUGCUGCUAAGGGAAUACUUCAAACGGGAUUGGGUGAUGGCAAGUGGGUUCUGGGAACAAUAUUAGAAUUUGGAAGGAUGUUUAGGUUCCAAGGUUGCCUAAGAGGAAAAUACAACCAUGUAGAGGGAACUCAUCAGCUUGGUUAUUGUCUAAGUUGAUUAAUCAUCAGGAAAGACAGUGGGAUGAGCAUAAACUCACAGUGAAUUUGGGUGAGGAAAUUGUUGAAAGGGUCUAAUGUAUUCUUAUUAUUGGGAAUCCGCAAGAGGACAUGAUGGGGUGGGGGAGGAGCAGUCAGGCAAUUUUUCAGUAAGAAGUGGCUAUAAGAUCUUAAUUUAGAGUGCUGUGGCCGCUGGUAGAAGUGAUACUUAUACAAAUUUUUAUAAAAGACUCUGGUAGAUAAAUUAAUAGAGAAAAUAAAAAUUACAGUAUAGAUAAUUUUUAAAAAUUACAUCCCUAACUAUUACAAUUUGUACAAUAAGAGGCUACGAAGUUUAGCAAUGUGCCCAAAAUGUACAAGAGAUGUCGAAACUUCUGAGCAUAUAUUUAGCGACUGUCUGUCUGUAGCAGAAAUAUAGAGAAAGUUAUAUCUUGAAUGGCCUGAUAAUAUUGCAAAUAGUUCUUUACAGGAUUGGCUUAAUUAUAUUGUUUCCUCAUUCUCUACUACUACAUGCAGAGCAGUGGACAACGAUCUGUGUGAGCGAUAGCUGGGGAAAAUUGAAAGAAAUGGUGGAAAUGCUUCUCUGAUGGUAUCGCAAGGAAUUUGAAGAGGGAUCUAAAGGGAGGAGGAUAUUGAAGGCUGGUGGUUUUUAUUAGCCGUGGUGAUAGGUUGUUAGAUUCUUUGAAGAUUGAUGAUCUUGGGGGGCUCGAUUUGAUAUCAGGGGGCUAAAUCUUUCGUCUCGCAAUCCAUGCGACCUUAGGCAAUUGUUCGCUCCAAACUCGCCUAAGUCAGCCUUUACUCCCAAAAGUGAGGAUUCCUUUAGAAUUCCUUUAAGGCACCAAUUUGUAUAGCGGAAGCGAUUGUGCCAAAAAAAGCUACAGAUGAACAAUAGAAAGCCAAAGAAAGAAUGCACACAAAGUGUUUGAGUAAAUGCUUAAAGAAUUCUAUUACUCUUAAGAAUUCAACAUACAAUAGAUGAUAUACAAAUGAAAGAGAGGCUCUCUAUUUAUAGUUGAGCUCCCCCAAUACCAAUGGUCAAGAUCAAAUUACAUCGACGGACGAGAUUAGCCUAUCCCUUAAUUUUAGGGAUUUACAAGAUUACAUUAUAUUAAAUCAAAUAUAUAAGAUAUGAUUCCCCUUCUUAUUAAAAAUAGCCUAAGUUGUCAUAUCUUCAUUAUUGGGCCAACCAGGUUUCAAUCUGACAGGCUUCUCCAACAGUUUUUUGAAUCGGGACAAUUCUCGUGGGCUAAAUGUUCCCCAUCUAAUCGAUAAACCUCUAUGGGGCACAUUUUGUGCCAUGGUCACGAGCUUUGUACUUUGGCCCAUGACAUUCUUCCCCACCCACUUUCAUAACGCCCUCGUUGUAACUUCUGAAUGACACUAACUUGAUUCACGUUAGAACUUUCUCGUUACCUUAGCUUCUUCCCGACUUGUCUUGUAAUUAAGUUGUCCCUUCCUUCGAAACCUUUACCCUAGCUUCCGUCGCCUCUUAACUUAAAUCGUUGUACUCGUUGGUACAUCUCAUUGGCAAGAAGUCUUCACUCUAACUUGCCCCAAUUUUGACUUGUUGCCAUUGGAAUCCCCAGGAUUCUCACAUCUUGGUUUCGUACCGCCCACAGUCCCUCAGCCUCAUUACUUAAGAACUUUGAAAGAGCUCCUACGACCUUGCCAAGCCAACAAGUUGGAAUUCAAAACACUAUCAGAGUGUUUGCAAUGUACUUUACUUGCAGCAUUUACUCGUUUUGACUACUUUUGCAUUACUUCUUUACCCUCGAAGUCCAGUACACAAUCCACCUUCCCCAAAGGUGACGGCUCUACAGUCGACUCCACAGGUCUCAUAUUAGUCUCAUGCUCCACUAACUUUUUCGAAGGGUUUUCGUAGUAUUCCAUUCUAUCGAGUUAAUAUUUCUCCCAUACAAAAUAUCUUUGACUAGUUGGAUUGACGACAACACCUUGGUCCUAACCUUCAAAUCCCGAUACACUGGCACAACAAUAUUUGAUAAUGGACCAGUAACAAUAUGAAUUUGGUCGGCUCAUGGAAACAGAACUGUCUAAAUCCUAUCAAAAAAGUUUAAGCCAAGUACAUAAUCGUAAUCAUCUAAUUGGAUUACCUCAAAGUCUUCUUUGCCCUUCCAUUUACCGAUUUGUAGCUCCACAUUACGAAUUACUCCCACAAUUAGGGCCUCCUCAGAAUUUACUAUCUUGAUCUUCUUAUUCGAUUUCUUAAUCGACAGGCCAAGCUUGUUAACAGCCUUUUUCGAUAUGAACAAGUCCGAUGCUCUUGUAUCAAUAAGAGCACUCCGCUUCUGACUUGCAAUGUUUAUGUCCACAAACAUCAACCCUUCUUCACCAUUCCUUUUCUUAGGAAUAAGCACCAUCGAAUUUACCCUCAAUGUUUUUCCCUCAAUAAGCUUCGCAUCUUCCUUCAGCUCAUAUUUCUUUUUGAUCGCCGAAAUUAUCGAUUUCUUUAGACAUUUUCGUGCCAUGUGUGGUCCUUGACAAAAGAAGUAUUUUAUUAUCUUCCCCUUGUCCCUUGGGUUGUUGGAUCCCUUCUUCGUAUCUCGUGGUUUUUGAUUACCACUUGUGCUAUCUAUACUGUUGCCGUCAUCAAUAUGUCCCUCUUCAUCUUUCUCAUGGUUUCUCUCACCAUUGCUCUUUCCAUUAGGCUUAGACGACUCGAACUUGUCUUUCGUUGGAUCAAGCUCAAAAAAGGAAUCAGCUUCGACCAUGGCUACAGUAAGUUCGACGAUUUAUUACCUACGCAACUCAUGAUUUGCCCACAGCUUUAAUCCAUCCUCAAACCAAUAGAACGCUUCUUUCUCGCUCAAGUAAAAAAUUUAAAGCAUUAACUCACUAAAUGCCCGAACAUACUCCUAAAUAGUGCCUUGUUACGUGAGAUAACGUAACUUAGCCCGAGCCUCCUUCUUGGUAUACUGUGGGUAAAACCACUUCUUUAACUCUCUUUGGAACUCCUCCCAAGUCCCAAUUACGUUCCCACCAUGUUUCUUAUUUAUGGACUUACAACUCCACCACAAGAGAGCCACAUUAGUGAAAUAGAUUGAAGUAGUGUUUACCUUAAUGGCAUCAUCCUCGAUGCCCAUCGCUCGGAAGUAUUGCUCCAUUUCCUAGAAGAAGUCCACAUCCCUUGCGGACCUUACACCCUUGAACUUAUCUGGUUGCUUCAGCCUUGAAGACAACAUCCCAUUACUCAAAGUAGCUUUGUAAAUCAUGAGCUCCCCUUGAGCUCUUCAAUUUUCUUUUUUAUGGCUAACAUCAUAUCCUCAAGAUUCUCAUCCCUCUAUGCCAACUUUUUCGUAGUGGAAUUGAUUAAUUCAUUCAUCUUUUCUGCAUUGGCACUGAGAGAAUCCAACACAAAAUCUUUGAGUUGCUCUUCUAUUGAGUCAAACCCAUCUGUGCGUCCCUCGACCAACUCAAGCAUCUCUUUCAUGUUGCCUACAGACUCCUUGAGAUUAACCACUCGAUUUUCCAGAGCUAUCAGCAUGUCCCUCAAGUGACUUACUUUUCUAGCCUUUCCACAGGUCUGCAUUGGCUCAUUCUGAUCAACAACUUCUUUCGACAUCCCAAUGGUGCCUUCAAACUAAUAGCUCUGAUACCACUUGUCACAGGGCUAGAUCUUUUUUCUCACAAUCCGUGCGGCCUUAGGCGAUCCGCUUGCUCCAAACUCGCCUAAGUUAGCCUUCACUCCCAAAAGUGAGGAUUCCUUUAGAAUUUCUCUAAGACACCAAUUUGUAUAGUAGAAGCGAUUGUGCCAAAAGAAGCUACAGAUAAACAAUAGAAAGCCAAAGAAAGAAUGCACACAAAGUGUUUGAGUAAAUACUCAAAGAAUUCUAUUACUCUUAAAAAUUCAACAUACAAUGGAUGAUAUACAAAUGAGGGGGAGGCUCUCUAUUUUAUAGUUGUGCUCCCCCAAAACCGACAGUCAAGUUCAAAUUACAUCGACGAACGAGAUUAGUCUAUCCCUUGAUUUUAGGGAUUUACAAGAUUACACCAUAUCAAAUCAAAUCUACAAUAUAUGAUUCCCCUACUUACUAAAAAUAGCCUAAGUUGUCAUAUCUUCAUUAUCGAGCCAACCAGGCUUCAAUCUGACAGGCUUCUCCAAUAGUUCUUUGAAUCAGGCAAAUUCUCGUGGGCUAAAUGUUCCCGAUCUAAUCGAUAGACCUCUAUAGGGCGCAUCUUGUGCCAUGGUCACUGGCUUUGCACUUUGGCCCGUGACACUAAAGGGAGGAGGAUAUUGGCUGGUGGGUUUUACUAGCCGUGGUGAUAGGUUGCUGGAUUCUUUAAAGAUCGACGAUCUUGAGGGGCUCAAUUUGAGAUCAAAGAGGACGGAACGGUAUAAUUUUUUUCUUAGAAUUAGAGGUUACAGUUUGGUUUUCUAUGGAAAGGAAGAGUGGGUAUGGCUUUGGAAACACUAGAUUUUUUGAAUGCUUUGCUAAGUGGAAACCAACUCAAAAGUUGCAUUACUAUUUAUUUUAUUUGUUUAAUUUAGAUUUUUCUAUUGGGUUUUGAUUUCUUUUGACUAUAUGUUUUUUGUUUAGUUCAGUUUAUUAUUAUUAAUAAAAUAACUCAGAUUCCCUUUAAAAAAAAGCGGUUGAAGUAACAAUGAAAUAAUUAUUUUUAUUAUUUAAAAAUAUUUUUGGUAAUCAUGAUUUUUAUGUAGUAGUGGUUAAACCUUUUUCUAGAUAUACUUUUAGCAUAGGUUUAAACCAUAUUACUCCCAUCUCCACCCUUAAUAUAGUAUAAAUAUUUUUUAUUUAAAUAAUUAAUAACUUAAUUUGAAGAAAAUCUCAAAUAAAAAAAAUUAAAUUAGUUUUAAAAAGAAAAAAGAACAAAUUUGUAGUUUUGAAAAUUAACUCUAGAUAGAUUUUCUCAAUUCCCAAGUAUUUUUUAUUUAAUAUUUUUUAAUUUUAAAAAUAAAUUAGUUAGAGGUAAAUUAAUUUAGAAAGUAUUCAAUUAAAUAAUAGAUUACAAAUUAUAUUGAGUUAUUUCUAAGGGAUAAAUAUCAAAACUAUACAUGAACUUUGAUCUAAUGUGUAAUGUUGUACAUGAACUUUGAUUUUGUUCAAUUUUAUACAUGAAAUUUUAAUUUGAUUCAAUUUUUACAAACAACUAACAAUAUUAUCGAAUUAGCACCAUUUUACAUUGAUAUAUUGUAUACACAAACAAUUAUAUUAAUACAAUAUGAAAAUAAAUGUAUGUUUUUAUUUAUUUAAAUGUGUACAAUUGAAUCAAAAUCAAAGUUUCAUGUAUACAUAUGAACCACAAUUCAAGUUUCAUGUGUAUAAUAUCUGUCGAAACCAUUUUUUUUAAAUAUGAAAAAUGGGUAUCGAUUUUGAAAAUGGAAAUGGGAGUCACCACCGAUCCUUUAUUGAGGUGUGAUCGGCUCACCUUGAAAAUGAUUUUGGUCUGCGAAAUUUGAGAAAACAGGUUCAGGAGUCGGUUACGCACGAGGAAGGGUUAGCACCCUCGUAACGUCCAAAAUUGUUACCGAAUUGAUUGUUAACGUCUUAAUGUCGGGAUUUUGAAAAUAUUUUUAAAAUACGACCUUUUUAUUUUGAAGUUAAAUUUGAUUUUUAAAACUAUGCAUUUUGAGAAGGAUAUCUGAUUAUCUGGGCCAAAAGAUAAUAUCAAAACCCAGUAAGUUAGGGUUCGAUUUCACCAAAUUCCCAAAUACCGAACAUUGCCUUUAUUUUUUAAAAUUCACGUCUCGAGAAAAUAAUAUGUCAUAUCUAAUACGUUAGGACACAACGUGCCGAAUUCCCGAGAAUGAGUUUUUAUUUGAAAUUUGCGAAUUCAUUGCAAAAUGAAUACUUGGCUUUCUAAAUUCAUCAAAAAAGAAUCGCAAUCCAGUAAGUUAGGACACAAUCUUCCUCGAGGAUCAUGAAUGCCAAAUAUUUCGAAAAUUUAUAAAAUACGAUGAUUUUAAUGUUUUGGCGAAACCAAAAUAUAUAUUUUUAAAAGGUAUGUUAAAAAAUUAAUGUACAAUAUGAAAUGAAUACUUUGAUUUAAAAUGUAUAUGUAUAUAGGUAUGUAUGUAAGUUAAAAAGAAAUAUAAGAAAGACAUAAGUAUGUAUAUAUGCAUAUAAAUAUAAAAAGGUUAUAAGAAUAUACAUAUAUAUAUAUGUGAAGUAUAAAGUAUAAAAUAUAAAUAAUAUACGAGUAUGUGUAUAUAUAUCAAAAAGCCUAUAUAUAUAUUAAUAUAUAAAAAAAACAUAUGUAUGCAUAUGCACUAUAAAAUACACAAACUAUAUAUGCAAAAAGGGGAUGUAUUGUAAAAAUAUAAAGAAUAUACAUACAUAUUUAUGAAAAUAACGUAUAUGUAUAUAAAUGUAUAGAUAUGUAUAUAAAUUAUAAGAUAUGAAAAAUAUAAAUGUAUAUAUAUAUAUGUAUAGCGUAUAUUUAAAUUAUAAGAUAUGCAAAGUAUGGAAGCAUGUAUUUGACUAAAUCUAAAAUUACAAAAGUGUAAAUAAUAAUAAGCAUAAUAAUAGUAAUAACAAUAUUAAAAACAAUAAUAAUAAAAAUAAUGAUAACAUUAUUGAAAUUAAUCAGUUUAAUAGCAAAAAUAUAAUAGGAAAGGACUAAUUUAAAUUGAAAACAGAACUUUGGGGGGCUAAAUCGCAAAUAAAUUAAAAGGAAGGGCCACAUCGAACGCGCGCACAGCACGAAGGGACCAGAAUGGGAAUUAUCCCUUUUCCCCGAAACGGCGUUGUUCCAGGAUGGGCCAAUUUGAAAUCGCAGAAAAUUAUGGGGCCAAAUUAAAAAAUGAAUAAACAAGCGGAAGGGUAAAAUCAAAACAAAUCAAUAAUACGGAGGGGCCAAUAGCGAAAAUAUCCCAUUUAACGAAAGUACGCGGAUCCUCCCCGGGUCGGAUCACACACGCGGGUUGCAGGAGUGAAACGGCGCCGUUUUAAACCAUUGAGGCAAGGUCUAAACGGCACCGUUUCAAGAAUCAGCAUUAAAAUAAAAAGAAAAACUUAAGGAACCCUAACAUCCCUCUUGCGCCGCAUCAGAGAACAAAAGCCCCCCCCCAUUUGCGCCGUUCUGUGGAGCAGUCGUUCGAAAAGGAAAUCUAAAUCCUUGCUCAAAAUCCGAUUACGACGGAGAGAAGCAAGGUCCGGCUAACAGGUUCGUUUCUCUUCCUCCCUUCCUUUAGUUUAUAUAUGUAUUCUAUGCGAUUAAGAGCAAAACAGAGAAGAAAAAAAAACCACUGGAAAAGAAAAGCCAAGAGAAAGAAGAAAACCUUCUUUUCGAAAUUUUUUACUGAUCCUUAUUUUGUGUGUUUCAUACAAAAAAUUCUCCCCUUUACAGAUUUUUGACAUGGCUUUAUAUUGCAAAAAAAAAAAAGAAAAGAAAUGCCCCCCGAAUCCCUUUUUACAUAUUUCUUAUUUACUCCUAUUUUCUCUGAUUUUUGCUCUCGAUUUCUACCCGUUCUUUGUCAUUUUUUGCUGCUCCUUCUGUGCGUUUCUGCAGGUACGGAUGUAUGCGGGCGUGCGUACGGCGUGGUCCCUGGUGGUGGCGUGGCUCGGCUCGGAGGCGCUACACGCGCGCGGACGCAACACGUGCGAGGGGGAAGCCUGGCUCUGUUGCGGCGCUGGAGGCUUACCCUAGCUGCUAGGGUUUUCCGAUUUUGGUCUCUGUUAGGCUAGGUGUUUGGUUUUGAUUUUGGGCUGCAAUGGGUUUGUAAUUUGGGCCUGGGGUAGGGUAAUGCAAUUAGGUAAUGGGUUAGGUUUAUAUUGUAUUGGGUUUUGUAAUACUAAACAAUUAAAAAGGACUGCUAUUGGUUUUUAUUUUAUAUAUAUUUUUUUAUUUUUUGGGAUUUUGGGCCCGGGCAAAUUGGGCCUAUUACAAUGUCAUUUACAUGCUUAAAAAAAUGCUUUUCCAUUAAUUUAUUGGUGCCUACAAUCUUAUUUUUAAGAUUAUUUUAUCUAAGUUAUUAUCAAGUAGAGAGCAUCAAUAUAAUUUAUAUUUAGUAUGAUGAUAAUAUACAAUUCUACACAUUAUUGACGGAAUAUGUUUUGAUAUAUCAUUACGUGAUAUUUUUUAAAAUUUAAUGAUGUGUAAUCAUCUAAUUCACUGAUGAUAUAUAUAAUAAUAUGCUAUCAAUACAUGAUAUAUAUUUGAAAGAGGUGUGGUGAAAGGGGAUUGGCAAGGGCCUUGACCCUUUG
This 58555-nucleotide long non-coding RNA is filed under the name Gossypium barbadense (sea-island cotton). RNAcentral describes it as "long non-coding RNA (GBAR_LNC015668)". Lineage: Eukaryota; Viridiplantae; Streptophyta; Magnoliopsida; Malvales; Malvaceae. The record is from RNAcentral.